RNAcentral lists this long non-coding RNA (87824 nucleotides) under Setaria italica (foxtail millet). RNAcentral's name for it is "long non-coding RNA (SITA_LNC001825)". The record is from RNAcentral. Lineage: Eukaryota; Viridiplantae; Streptophyta; Magnoliopsida; Poales; Poaceae.
UCAUCUCCAAAAGUCAGUGUUUUCAUCAAAGGACGUAGUAUCCACGAUAAUUUUCUCUAUGUGCGCAACAUGGCACAUUGUUUCCACCGCAACAAAACGCCUAUGCUCCUCAUCAAACUGGAUAUUUCAAAGGCAUUCGAUUCCGUUCGAUGGGGUUAUCUGCUAUCAUUGCUGUCACACAUUGGCUCCCCGCAAAGAUGGAUUGAUUGGAUAGCGGCUUUACUUUCGACCGCUACAUCUCAAGUACUGCUAAACGGGAUCCCAGGCCAGCCCAUCGUUUAUGGAAGGGAACUACGACAGGGUGAUCCCUUCUUACCCCUGCUAUUCAUUCUUGCGAUGGACCCCCUACAACGCAUACUUCACCUUGCAACUGAGGCUGGCCUCCUUAGUGCAAUUGGUCGGAACAGGACCAAACUUCGCACGUCGCUCUAUGCAGACGAUGCUGUCCUUUUCAUCAGGCCGGUCAAGAAUGAAGUCACGUGCCUUGUCCGCCUACUGGAACUCUUCGGGGAGGUCACAAGGCUCUGCGCUAAUGUGCAGAAAUCUUCGGUGGUCCCAAUUAGCUGCGGAAACAUUGACCUCGACGACAUUCUAGCGGAUUUGCCGGCACAACGCGCUCAAUUCCCCAUCAAGUACCUUGGAUUGUCACUCUCGGUCAGGCGGCUAAAGAAGGCUGAUUUCAUGCCACUCUUAAACAAAACCCGCGGCAAGCUCACAGGUUGGUGGGGCCGGAACCUCACGCAAGCAGGUAGGCUGACCUUGACAAAGUCGGUGCUGUCCUCACAGCCAAUUUAUGUUCUAAUAGUGAUCAAUGCCAACAAGGAUGUAUUGGAUGAGUUUGAUAAGAUAAAGAAAGUGUUUCCUUUGGGCAGGCGACCAUAGGUUAACUGGUAGAAAAUGCAAAGCGAACUGGCCAAUGGUGAAUAGACCAAAGGAGUCAGGGGGAGUGGGCUUGCUCGAUCUGCAUAAAUUUGCAAGAGCACUACUAAUGAGGUGGCUAUGGUAGGAGCACACCGAGCCAGAUAAGUCGUGGACUGGCUUAGGGAACCUCUGCGAUGAGACCAACAAACUACUUUUUGCGGCAUGCACAGACAUCAAGCUCGGGGAUGGGACGCGCAUAUCCUUCUGGCACUCGGCCUGGGCCAACGGGUGUUGGCCAAAGGAUAUUGCACGGAACCUUUACAACAUUUCGAAAAGGAAGAAUAGAUCCCUAANNNNNNNNNNNNNNNNNNNNNNNNNNNNNNNNNNNNNNNNNNNNNNNNNNNNNNNNNNNNNNNNNNNNNNNNNNNNNNNNNNNNNNNNNNNNNNNNNNNNCAGACUCGUCUUGCGUUUAGCCUCCACUUAUAUAAUGGGUUUUGUAAAUAAUCUACGUUUAAUACCCCUAAUUAGUGUCUAAACAUUCGAUGUGACACGUGCUAAAAAUAAGCAAAGGGAACCAAACGCCACCUAAUUCAAGGAGAGGAGGACUCCAUCACGUGGAAACUAAACAGAAGCGGCAUAUGCUCUUCGGCGUCGGCAUACAAGGCGCAUUUCAUCGGAUCAAUGCCACAUGAUCUAUCGAGGCUAAUCUGGAAACAGUUCUUUGCGUGGCUGGACGGCAGAUAGGCUUGAGGUCAGGGGAUGGCCCCGAAACGCAUCUUGUCCGCUAUGCAGGAGUUGUCAGGAAACAGCGCACCAUAUCCUAGCCGAUUGCUGAUACGCAAAACGGAUAUGGAGCGGGCUGGCCACCUGAAGCCAAUGGGAGCAAAUUCAUCCGUUUGCAUGGCCACAAUCAGCGACGGUACACGAGUGCUCGUGGUAUCCUUUUAAUCAGGGACACGUCGUACGUCGUUUGCUGUUAGCUAAUCCAUCAUUCCAUCUCGAUGUGUAUAGUGCUCCGGAGCUUUAAUUUGAUCCAGCAUAAAUUCUAGAUAGUUGGGAGGCAUGGCCAUCAUCCAGUCCCUGGUGCAGAUUCCGAUCGAGCUGGCCCCAAUUAUUGCAACAUCGACGGGCCGCCCCGACUGCAGACCACACGCAUUUAUCCAUAUCUACCCUACAUGCAAGAGAGCCACGGGCUUUCAGAGCUCAUCAGAGGAUGGAGAACCAUUUCAGUGAAAGAUAGCAGCUGUAGCUACCGAUCACAUGAGGCUGUACUGUGCGCACCAAACACUGUGCAGACUGCAGGAACUGGAUGUGCCUUUCAUUUUCUCAAAGGAAAGCUAGCAGGAGUAGCACUGGUUAAACAAGCAACAUCUGAAAGCAAACGACCGAUGAGUAGAGCUGUAGAGUGCCAAUCAAUCUGUGUGUUAUGGAAAAGCAUUCCUGCUACUGUCCAGGUGUAGCAAAUUAAAGACGUACGGUAGUGGCCUUGAGCUAUGCGUACUUGUAUUAUCUAGUAAAAGGUGAAGCGAAAGAUGCAAUCUUUGUCGAGUAAAAUCAGGAAAGGGGUCAUCACCCUGGCCUGCCGCCUCAUGUUAAAGGACAUCAACAAAGGUUCAAGGUGCAUCAUUGCAGCUAUACAGCUAUCAGCAACUUUUAUCAUCUUUCCAUAUUCAAAUGGAACUUAAUUAGCUAGGACAAAGUAAAAAGACAAGAAGAGCAAUACAAAGAAAGAAUGAGUGCCAAGAUUUUUAGCAUGCUUUGGCUUUGAAUUCACUCGAAGUGGUAGAUUAGAUUCAAGGGCAGACAGUACCAACGGAUCAGACGCCGUUGAAGAAGGAAGGCACCGGCGGCAGUGGUUGAGGAACACUGGCGGUCCAUCCAUAAAGUGCAAAGCAGCAGGACCAUUCGAUUCGAUGAGGCCACGCCAGAUCAUCUGUCUCGAUCUCAUGCAUCUUUGCGAAAUCCAUGGCAGAUAUAUUUUUUUUCCUGGCCCUGUGGCUACAUGCAAUUGCAAUUUGCAAAUGUCAGGGAGACACUACCGAACACUGAUCGCGUACUGCAUCGCGAGUCGAUGUCGACCCUGACAGUUUCCCGUACCUGAUCGAUCGAGAAAAAGGAUGGCAUGAUGUUGAUGAUGCAUCUCAUUAUCCAUGACAAAUAGGAACAAAGCUCCAUUCUUCAACCAAAGCUGAUGAGUUACUUCUCUCUUCUCUCUUCAGAACAUACACUUGUGCAUCAACUAAGGACGACAAUACAUACUACAUACACAAAGCCAAUACAUACUACAUACAAGGACGACAAUGACUGAAAGUGAUGGCACCAGCCAAUACAUCACUGCGAAGCAAGCUGUGCACAUCAGGAUGCCCAGUUGCCCAUCCCCAACAGUGCCGAUCGACAGGCGAGUUUGUGGCGCCAAGGCUAGACAGAGAACCCAAGUGGAACACUGCACGUCCGUCCAUACACAAACCCUGCUGAAACUUCCAGCAGCCGGGCUGUCGCCAUACGGACACGGAUCUGUACACAGCUCCUAUACCGGGCGUACGUGAAAAAAAAAAUACUUGUGAUCGUCUGGUUGCUGUCACGCCCUCGAGGUUGGAUGGAGCAGCUAGCAGCACAAGGGACGUACUGGGAGAGACGAAAAUUCAGCAGGGAAGAAGAAGAAGAACAGCCAGUAGCAUAGCAUCCUGUCCUGAUCGAGGUGGUUUGGUUACGAACGAACAGUCAACCGGAGGAAAAAAAAAGGAGAUGAGGCGUGCUUUGACAGCUGGCGUGGCUGUCUUGCGUGUGGGAUCGUGUGGUGGCCAGGGACUGACAGGGGUCCACGGGUGCUUGACCGUUUGGAGAGCAAGAGACCAAAGCCGGAGGUAACCUCUCGUCACCUCUCAUCUCAUCCCAUCUCACACGCGGAUGGAUGGAACGGAUGGACAUGGAUGGAUCCAUGCUCUCAUUGCUCAUUGGUCAUUGCUCAAGCUGGCCACCACCGGAUGAACACGGCCAUGCGUGUGUCAGUGUGUGGAUACGGCCACACGCCUAGCUAGGCAGUAUACGGCCAUCACACCAGGACUGUGAACCAUGGUUUGUGGCGUCAACGGGAAGCAAAGUUGCACGCUGUCGUCGUCGCGCCGCAGGAUAGAGAUGCCCACAAGGCCUCUCGAUCGAUGUUCCAUUGGCAACAUUCUCACACCGUCACACGAGGACAACAAGAGAAGACUAGCCUGCCUGCUUUCACGUACAAGUCCAGCCGUAAUUGCUCUUGUGAAUUUUGGUACUAAAAAUUCCUAAUUCAAAGACAAAUCUUGGUAAAAUUCCUACUCAUCCAGGUACAGUUCAAAGACUUGACCAUCUGAACACAUCUACAUGACUGCAGUCCACACGUCCAGAAAAAAGUUCAUCGUUUCAGCAGCGAGAAGCCUAGAGCACUAUGCAGUGCAACCAGUGGUUGAAGCACUGGUGCAUGGGCAGCUUCAUAAGCUCGCUCAUCUGCCACGGUAAGCGGCAUUAAUGCCAGGCCCCCCACCCUGUCUCCUCUGUCAGCCCACCGUCUUCGUCUUCAUCGAUCCACACCACACGUCCACACACGUACGGAACGGAACCCUCUCCUUCUUCCUUCCACUCCUUUCACUCGCUGCUGUCCGCUACUGCCCAUGGCAGUGUCCGGCGGCGGUGCUCCUUUAACGCUGUCUCCUUCCCCAGCCCGCUCCUUCCUUUCUUGAAGAAACCUUUAUUUCCCGGCCGGGGGCCAGGCCAUCGAAUCUGUGAAACCUUUCCUCCUCUGUCCUCUGUCUCGGCUCGCAGUUUAUUCUCCUUGCUAUGCCCCGUCCUUUGUUUUCUGAUCCUUCUGCUACCUCUCCAUCGGCAAUGUCUCUUCCCCAGGAGCUGGAUAGAUGCGUGCGGGUGAUUGUAGGCCUGUAGAAAGGAAGAUCCUUGAUUGAUCGAGCCAGGCGGCAUGUCGGAGUCCAGCAGGGCGUUCCAGCUCGACGCGCCGUCGUCGGCCGCCACAGCCGGAGACGGCCGCGGCGGGAAGGCUGGCCCCAGCGGCGCCGGCGGCAGCGUGCCGUUCUACCGGCUGUUCGCGUUCGCGGACGGCGCGGACGCGGCGCUCAUGUCCCUGGGCGCGCUCGGCGCGGUCGCCAACGGCGCCGCGCUCCCGCUCAUGACCGUCCUCUUCGGCCGCCUCAUCGACGCCUUCGGCGGCGCCGCCACAACCAGCGACGUCGUGCGCCGCGUCUCCGGGGUGUCGCUGCAGUUCGUCUACCUCGCCGUCGCCUCCGCCUCCGCCUCCUUCGUGCGUAAGUGCUCGCCACCGACACACCCCCACACGCACCGACACUGAGUAUAUAUUCCCCGCUGCUGCUGAUUCCCUCGCUCCGCUGGGUCCCCAGAGGUGGCGUGCUGGAUGAUCACCGGCGAGCGGCAGGCGGCGCGGAUACGGAGCCUCUACCUCCGGACCAUCCUGCGGCAGGAGGUCGCCUUCUUCGACCCAGCACACCAACACCGGCGAGGUCGUCGGCCGGAUGUCCGGCGACACGGUGCUCAUCCAGGACGCCAUGGGCGAGAAGGUCGGCAAGUUCAUCCAGCUCCUCGUCACCUUCGCCGGCGGCUUCGCCGUCGCCUUCGCGCAGGGCUGGCUCCUCACGCUCGUCAUGCUCGCCACCAUCCCGCCGCUCGUGCUCGCCGGCGCCGUUAUGUCCGGCGUCGUCGCCAGAAUGGCCUCGCUCGGCCAGGCCGCCUACGCCGAGGCUGCUGCCGUCGUCGAGCAGACCGUCGGCUCAAUCAGAACAGUAAGCACGCCAAGCACCGAUCAUGUCGGUCCGAUUCCGAUGAGUGCCGGAACACUGACGCCACGGCCGUGGAACGCACCCGCAGGUGGCGUCCUUCACUGGUGAGAAGCGGGCGGUGGAGAAGUACAACGAGUCGCUCAAGAGCGCGUACAGCUCCGGCGUCCGGGAGGGCCUCGCCGCCGGCAUCGGCAUGGCCAUCGUCAUGGUGCUCCUCUUCUGCGGCUACUCCCUGGGGAUUUGGUACGGCGCCAAGCUGAUCCUGGAGAAGGGAUACUCCGGCGCCCAGGUCAUGAAUGUCAUCUUCGCAGUGCUCACUGGCUCACUGUAAGGCUUUUUUCCCCUUCACUGUCGCAUUUCCGAUAAAUUCAGUUGCAGUAAUCUCAGUUCCCAAGCAAGAUCAUGCUAGUAGUGUGUGACUAAUAGUCUUAUCUGCAAGAAAAGACUGGAAGGUUUCAGGAACGAAAAGACUAAGAAAAAAGAUGCUUACGUUGCUAUCUCUUUAUAUGAUUAAGCCAUCUAUCUGGAUUUUGCCUCUUUCUGUAUAUGAUAAAGCCCUCUAUUUGGAUGUUGCGCUGAUUAAGACAUGUCAGGCCACCCAAAGACACAAAAUUAGCUGCUGUUUGACAGUGAUAAGCACGUGAUUUUUGGUGACCAAACGGAUAAAGAUACACCAACUGUGCACGUAUGGUUCAUUCUGUUGGCAGCAACUAAUCAAGUGCAGAUCAUGCCAACCUUGCCUUUUAUGUUUUUUUAUAACAAGUUCAUGCCAACCUUCGGUAGAAACUGAAUUGUGUUUUCCAAUAACCAUAAAUGGUACAUGGCAAUCAAAUUAUCAUGAACUUUUCUGUUGAGAAAGUUUCAUCUCAUACACUUUCAUAUCAUGCACAUCAAAUAAAUUUCAGUUGUUUUAAAUCUAUCUUGUUCAGUGAUUCAUCUACUGCACUUUCAACAUCUUUUCUGUUCAUCAAAAUCAAAAUACUAUUGACUGCACAUGGAGUUAUUGGAUCAAACUAAGCAACAGAACUAUUGGUUAAUCCAGAAAGCUGACACUUCACUAUUGCAAUCACCAGAGCUCUGGGUCAGGCAUCACCGAGCAUGAAAGCGUUUGCAGCUGGGCAGGCUGCAGCAUACAAGAUGUUUGAAACCAUCAACAGGGAGCCAGAGAUCGAUGCGUACAGCGCAACAGGUAGGAAGCUGGACGACAUUCAGGGGGACAUUGAGUUCAGAGAAGUUCAUUUUUCAUACCCAACAAGGCCUGACGAGCAGAUCUUCAGAGGUUUCUCCCUUGCCGUACAGAGUGGUACAACUGUCGCACUCGUUGGCCAGAGUGGUAGUGGCAAAUCGACAGUCAUCAGCUUGAUCGAGAGGUUCUACGACCCUCAGCUUGGUGAAGUUCUGAUAGAUGGUGUGGACCUCAAGGAGUUUCAGUUGAGGUGGAUCAGAAGUAAAAUCGGCCUCGUGAGUCAAGAGCCAGUCCUGUUUGCUGCUAGCAUAAGAGACAACAUAGCUUAUGGCAAGGACAAUGCGACGGAUGAGGAAAUCAGAGCUGCAGCUGAGCUUGCUAAUGCCUCCAAAUUCAUAGAUAAAAUGCCCCAGGUCAGAAGACCGCUUAUCCUAAGACAUACCAUUAGUAAUGUGCAGAAUUGGACAGAUCUAUAUAAGGGAGAAUAUUUGAACAUCUGUAUUUCUUGAUGUUUUGGCAUUUUUCAGGGUUUAUCUACUUCAGUUGGUGAACAUGGAACACAACUUUCAGGUGGUCAGAAGCAAAGAAUUGCCAUUGCAAGAGCAAUUCUAAAAAAUCCAAGAAUCCUUCUUUUGGAUGAAGCAACAAGCGCUUUGGACACUGAAUCUGAAAGGAUUGUGCAGGAGGCUCUUGACAGGGUUAUGACAAACCGGACAACUGUGAUUGUUGCUCACCGUUUGAGUACCGUCAGGAAUGCCGAUACCAUUGCUGUCAUUCAUCGAGGAUCAGUAGUUGAAAAAGGUACAUUUUUUUUUACUGAAACACCUGGAAUCAAAACCAGAUGCACUGUCCCAACCGUAUCUUUUCUUAAUAAUUGCUUAGUUCCUUAAAGAUUUCACACUUGACCAGGUUCACACCAUGAGCUUGUAACGGAUCCAGAGGGAGCUUACAGCCAGCUGAUACGCCUACAAGAAGCAAGUCAUGCUUCCGAGGGAGCAAACUACCAGAACAAGUCAAGCACGAAGGAUGAUUCCUGGAUUUACGCAGGCAAACAGACGCCAACAAAUCAAUCAGCUACCAUAAGGUCACCUCAGAACAACAGCAGAAAUCACUCAUUGUCAGUAUCAUUCAGCGUACCUCUUGAAAUCAAUGUCCAGGACAGAUCAUCAAAGAAUGUAGAUGAAGAAAUUGAGCAGGAAGUGCCUCUCAGCCGCCUCGCAUCGCUUAACAAACCGGAAAUCCCAGUGCUUAUUCUUGGUUCUAUUGCUUCGGCUAUCAGUGGAGUAAUCUUCCCGAUCUUUGCGAUACUCCUAUCAAACGUGAUCAAAGCAUUCUAUGAGCCGCCACUUAUUCUGAGGAAGGAUGCCGAGUUUUGGUCAUCUAUGUUCUUGGUAUUUGGUGCAGUGUACUUCUUGUCACUUCCUCUUGGCUCAUACCUUUUCUCAGUGGCUGGGUGCAAGUUGAUCAGAAGGAUCAGAUUGAUGACUUUCCAAAAGGUGGUUAAUAUGGAGAUUGAAUGGUUUGAUUACCCAGAGAACUCAAGUGGAGCAAUUGGGGCAAGGCUAUCGGCGGAUGCUGCGAAAGUUCGGGGGCUUGUGGGUGAUGCACUUCAGCUGGCUGUGCAGAAUUCAGCAACUUUAAUUGCUGGUUUGGUAAUUGCUUUCAUAUCGAACUGGCAGCUAUCACUUAUCAUAUUGGCCUUGAUACCGCUAAUUGGCCUCAACGGAUGGAUCCAGAUGAAGUUUAUUCAGGGAUUCAGUGCAGAUGCAAAGGUAUGAUGAAUUCAUUACAUAUGUUGUUGUGUUUCCAGCCAAUCAAUUAUCUAUUCCUGUUCUUGAUCAAUUCACCGACUGUAUGUUAUGAUUUUAGUUGAUGUAUGAGGAGGCAAGCCAAGUAGCAAAUGACGCGGUGAGCAGCAUAAGGACAGUGGUCUCAUUUUCAGCUGAAGAAAAGGUGAUGGAUUUGUACAAGAAAAAAUGCGAAGGAGUCUUAAGAGCAGGGAUCAGGACAGGAAUAAUAAAUGGUAUUGGUUUUGGGGUAUCCAUCUUCUUGCAGUCUGGAGUGUAUGCAGCCAGCUUCUAUGCUGGCGCGCGGCUUGUUGAGGAUGGGAAAACAACUUUACCCAAAGUUUCAUGGUAGUAUCAUGUUAAUCAUGAUAUCUUUACAGAUUCAACUUUCACAAAUAAGUGGAUUUUAAUGUCAUGAAGCAUUUAUAAAUUGACAUAUGUUUACCAUGACACUGAAAUGCAAACUUGGGCAUCUGAAUGCAGGUAUUUCUUGCUCUAAGUAUGGCAGCAAUUGGGGUGUCGCACACAAGUACCCUCACAUCAGAUUCUUCCAAAGCAAAAUCAGCCGUAUCCUCUAUAUUUACCAUCAUGGACCGAAAAUCAAGGAUAGAUCCAGGUGACGACGCCGGGGUAACCCUAGAGCCGCUAAGUGGUGUCAUCGAAUUUCAGCAUGUGAGAUUCAGAUAUCCUACACGGCCCGAUGUUCAGAUUUUCCAAGACCUGUGCCUGACAAUUCAAUCUGGAAAGGUACUACACAUCCUAAUUUCUCCACUCGACAUUGUUACUUGAUGUCAACCUAACUGUUUGCACUAUGUGUCUUACCUGUCAGACUGUUGCGCUUGUUGGAGAGAGUGGUAGUGGCAAAUCGACGGCGAUAGCAUUGCUGCAGAGAUUCUAUGAUCCUGAUGCAGGCCAUAUACUCCUGGAUGGAGUGGACAUACAGAAGUUCCAGCUGAGGUGGCUGAGGCAACAGAUGGGACUGGUGAGUCAAGAACCAUCUCUGUUCAAUGACACGAUCCGGGCAAACAUCGCCUACGGAAAGGACGGGCAAGCGACAGAAUCAGAUGUUGUGGCUGCUGCACAACUGGCAAAUGCUCACAAGUUCAUCAGUUCAUUGCAUCAGGUAAUGCCUCAACUGUACUACUGCGAACUGCCUAUCCGAAGAAUCAAGUGUUUGUUAUAGAUAUAAGUGUUGUUACCUGAAAAAAAAAAUGCAGGGAUAUGACACAAUGGUUGGGGAGCGUGGGGCUCAACUAUCCGGAGGGCAGAAGCAGCGUGUGGCCAUCGCUCGUGCCAUCGUGAAGGACCCCAAGAUCCUCCUCCUCGAUGAAGCGACGAGCGCGCUCGACGCGGAAUCCGAACGGGUAGUGCAGGACGCUCUGGACAGGGUGAUGGUGAACAGAACAACAGUCAUCGUGGCGCACCGCCUGUCAACAAUACAGAGUGCAGACGUGAUCGCGGUGGUGAAGAACGGUAUGAUCAUCGAGAAGGGAAGGCACGAUACCUUGAUCAACGUCGAGGGCGGGGCGUACGCGUCCCUCGUCGCGUUGCAUUCAGCAGCACCGUCGUAGCCACAUUCAGUUCAGAGGUGAUACUGAAUCUGAGAUAGGCGAGCAGGACCGGCAGCUUAACAAAAGUUCAGGCGCCGGUUCUUGUUGUCGUUGUCCAGGUCCUGAUGAAAUAGAUGCAAAGGCAGACAUAUAUGUUAAGAUGACUCCCGCAUAGCUAAGAAGGAAAGAAGAUUACAGGAAUAAUAGUGUCAAAAUGUAAAUGCAGCAACCAUGCUGUGCCCAAGUUACUGAUAUGAAUACAGAUGUUCAGUGUAACAUGUACUGAAUGUAGAUCAUACUCCUAGCUAGCAUACUCUAAUAACAAAGAAGCAGAUGACGAUUGUGAUACGUCUUCACCUUGUUGCUUUGAAUUCAUCCCAUUUGAAGAAAAGCGUAGUCCUGGGCUAUCCUGAUUCCCAAGAAGGCAAGAACACAACCUUGUAGCAACAGAGUCAAUCGCAAUUCCGGUGCCAUGCGGCUGACAAAGUGAAACUCCUUCCACAAAGAAGCUGAAUUUAGGUUGAUCCUACAGAAAAAAAAAAUGAUGACUGUAAAAGCAGAAGAGCUCCGACAGGCGACAGCAACAAAACAGCCGUAUAAAACGAGAAGGAAAAAAAAAUUCAACCCUAGAGAAGAUGGGGAGCUCCGGAGCACCUUCCAAUUCCAAACGAAAGAAAAGGAAGCAGUUUUCUCUGUCAAAAUCGGAGAGGAAGGACACGGCAAGGGGUAAGCUCGUAAAGAUCAACAGUUUCGUGAUUCCCUCGAUCUUCAAUCGGGAUCGACUACGGAGUACGGACUAGCAAGUCCGGAUAGGUUCUUCCCCCAAAUCCCUCCCGGCGCCACGUAUUCGCUGACGUGUAACGCAUCCGGCCCGUCCAUUCCCCGACCCCGGCGCCCGACCGCCAGGAUCUUCGAGCGGCACGAGCGCGCACGCGCGAGGCAGAAAGCUGCCGCCAGCCACUCGCGGCGCGCCACGUGACCACAAAGGGCAUAACGGUCAAAUCCCACCUCCCACAGCGAGACGCGUAGAAGCGUCGCCAACCAGGACUCUCCAGGAGAAGAGGUGGAAAGGAAAAAAAAAAAACUGUCGCGUGUGGAGGCGGGCAGGCAGCAAAGGUCCCCCUCGCCGACGGUGACGUGACGACAUGGAGCUCACCGGUGCCGCGCUCCGGCGGUCCCUGCCGGCGGCGUCCCCGGCGGCCGCGAGGUGGAGGGGGAAGGGGCGGAGGAGGGCGCCGGCCAGGGUGUCCUGCGUCGGGGGCGGGGGGUUCGCGGAGGAGGGCCACCUCAGGUACUACGAGGCCGCGGCCCCGCGGAGGAAGGCCGUGGAGGCGGUGGCGAGGGACCUGGCCAAGCUCCGGGCCAUGGGGCUCGUCGCGGGGGACGCGGCCAAGGAGAAGGUCCUCUCGGUGAGCCCUCUGUUUCUCCCCCUCCUUCCACGCCUUUGCUCUUAUUUCGGUUCCAUUCGGGGAAUUGGACGCAGAAUCUCAAUUGCUUACUAUAAUGAAUUUGUUGCUGUCGGGUGGGUUUACUGGAAUAGUGAUGGCGGCGAUGUAAUAUGGUUGAUUUGGUCUAGGAAUAAUAAAAUUUGCUCUGUUGGCCAACUAAUGUUAGUUCAUGGUGAUAACUAAACGGUUCUGUAAAAAGAGUACCAGUGCUUGCAUCGAACAUGUUUCAGUGGUGAUUAGUUUGUUGAUAGUUUUGUAUUGUGUAUUCGGGUUGAUUGGAACUCGAAUUGAAUUCUGAUUUGCUUGCAAUUGGGACCGCAGGAAGCCACGGAUCUUCUGCUGCAGGAGCUGAACCAGAUGAAGGACGAGGAAUACAAGAUGAAGAAGGCCCAGAAAGAGGAGGAGAAGGCUGCCAUGAAAGCACUGAAGCAGCAGCAGAAGGAAGCGAAGCAGGCUGUCACAGCCGCCAUGAUGAACUGCGAAGAUGAGUCGUCCUCUGAAUCAAGUGAGAGCGAUUGUGAGGACGAGCAAGCCAUGAAUGUUGAGCUGGACAUGGUGAUCUCGGCAGCAGUUCCUGAAGUUGUUGCACCCGGCGUAUCGACUGUCUCCGCAAUGGAGUGCGAGAAGGCUGCAAUGAAGGCCAUGAAGAAAAUGGAGAAGGAACGAAUGAAGGCCAUGAAGAAGAUGGAGAAGGAGCAGAAGAAGGCUGCGAAGAAGGCCAUGAAGAUGGAGAAGGAAGCAAAGAAGAUGGCCAUGGCCACACUGAAUGGCUGCAGGGAUGAAGACGAUUCCUCGUGCUCAUCAGAGUCCAGUGACAGCGAAUGCGAGGGGGAGGUUGUCAGGAUGAGCCGCUGCGCUACAAUCACCGCACCACAAAUGCCAUCUCCAAGCACGGUUUUCCCCAUCAUAGUUCCUCAAAUUCCACCCUCGCUGCCUUCGGAGCCAUCUCAAGCUUCAGAGCCUGCAACUGCAAUGCAAGUCAACAGCAUCAGCAGCAUUGCAGUAGCUGAGACAUCCACAACCAACAGAAUCGAGGUCUGCAUGGGUGGCAAAUGCAAGAAAUCAGGCGCGCUUGCUCUUCUGCAGGAGUUCGAGAAGACUGUGGGCACUGGAGGUGCGGUCGUCGGGUGCAAGUGCCUAGGAAAGUGUGGCCUAGGGCCCAACGUGCGCCUGAGGAGCGAGGUCUCAGCGGAAGGUUCUUCAAAGAGGAACCCACUUUGCAUCAGCGUAGGGUUAGAAGAUGUUGGCACCAUAGUGGCAGGUCUCUUCGGGGAUGUUGAGCUGGGCAUGACGUCCACCUAGACCUAGCACUCUUGGCAAGAGUUGAAGCUGUAUUAGCUGUUGUUGUACUGAACAAAUAUACAGCACAGACCAUAGCUACGGCCCUGCUUAUGUACUAUAUAUAGAACAUCUAAAUCUAUGCUAAUCAAGGUUUCAGAUUUGAGAUCCAUAGUGCACUGUGAUUGUUUCAUGGUUUUCAGAUUUGAGCAUCUGUGACUGUCAGUAGGGAUGCUUAACGGUCUUGGAGAAAUUACUGGAACUGGUGACCUGCAGGUGUAGUGUUUGUGUGAGAUUUCAGAUCCAUAUAGUGCACUGUGAUUGUUUCAUGGUUUUCAGAUCUGAGCAUCUGUGACUGUCAAUAGGGAUGCUUAAUGGUCUUCACUGUCUGGACGGACGAAUUACUGGAACCGGGUGACCUGCAGGUGUAGUGUUUGUGUCUGAGAUCCUUGAAUUCACACAAGUUUUUCAAAGAUAAGCUCAGGCUCAUCUUCGUUACUUGAUUCCUGUUUCGCCUCAGCUAAAACAAUAGCCUCUGUUGCUUGAUUUCUGUUUUGCUUGGUGACCUGUCUCUGUCUCUUAACUUCCUCUAGUCACAGGUGACGCUUUGGAUAAUGCUUGCACAUUCUUUAGGAACCUUGACUAUCAACAACACUAGAAAAUUUAGAUGGAAGAGUUCUUAAGAAUUUUUUUCAUAACCUCAUAUAUUCAUAGGAUAUAUCCAGUUACGUACUGGUGCAUGUCAGUGACGCCGUAUCAGUGAUUCUGUAGGAUACAUUAGAGAUGGAUGCCUCCUCAAAACAUUGGGAUCAGAUCAUCUCGUAACUCUUUCGAUGGUGCCUGAAACAUGCUCCGUAGUUCAGAUUGAGCUAUGAAGACGACGGGGGUGGAAAGGAGGAGAAUGGGAGGGCUUGCCGGCUUGGGGCGAGCGCUCGACCGUUUGGUGGGCUCGGUCUCAAAGGGGGCCCCGUUUUGGAAAGAAAGGCCCACAAGAAACAAGCUGACGGGAGAAAGAAUCUUGGAAGCAGUAGUAUAUGCGUUGUUUAUCUGGGCGGUGGUAGAGAAAAUAUCUGCCGUCGUGCAACACGCCACGCCGUCGACCACCCACCCGUUGCUCUCGCUUCAACCCGCUUCAUCCAUUCCAGUUCUGACAUCUUCCGAGUGCUCCGGAACACCCGACACCCACAAAACCUACCUCCAUCGCCCCCUUGCCACCGACACGUGGGCCAGGCACUGCCCGCGGGCCCACCACGCGCGCCACGAGGAGGGGACCCGGGCGGGAGGUGCCAAGUCGCCUUGCCACGGUCUCUGACGCCAUUGGUUGGUUCUAUUGUAUUUAUCGCUCGCACGUCCACUCUUCUUCUUCCUCCUCCCCUCCUCCUCUUCCUUGACUUUGCCACCGUCCUUAUUCUUCGUCUUGGAAGCGAGGUAGCUGCACGGAGCACGCCUCCACUCCACUCAAUAUAAGGCGAGUGGUUCUCUUGCUCGAACCGCCUCCCGUUGACCUCACCUUCUGCCUGACUGAGCUCUGCUCUGCGAACACUUGUUGGCGUCCUCUUCUCCGCGCCUUUGCCUGGUAUGUCUGAAUGAAUGAUGUGUCUAGGAUGUAGUGCGAGUGUUCAGUUCGCGUAGUUCUCGUGACUAUGUUCGGUAACACCCUCUGAUGCCGCUAGCUAUUAGCUUGAUUGAUUGGCUAUCCUGUCCUAUUCCUGAUUGUUUCGACUGUUCGACAGAGAAACAUUUCAGCCUUAUACAGAUAGGGGGUGUGCUAUUCUUCAUUGAUUCAUGUCAGCACCUGUUUUGGAUAGAUAGAUCGAUGAUUGAAGGAAGCUGUACUAAAUCUUUAGGCUUUGCUAUGGUUUUGUUGGGGGGCUUUGAUUUCCAGUUGAGCUCCACUGUGCUGAAACUUUCCUGAAUACCAGCAUCUCCAUUGGUUGACUUCCGAAUUCGCUGAGGCCAGAGCUGCAUAGGCCAGUAGGCCUACUGCAUGGAGUAUACAUCAGCCUUAUCCUAAUCCGUGCUAACACAAAUUCUCCUCAGGUGCCGUUGCGUCUCUGGGAUGAUGAGGCACCGGCAGCUCCUGCUGGCGACGGCCUGCCUCUGGGCUCUGUCGUGCGCCUCACUGCUCAGCGCUUCCGCCCCCGACGGUGCCGGGCUGCUCAGGGUCAGCCUCAACAAGAACCGGCUCGACGGCGAGGCCCUGGCCGCGGCGAAGCUCGCCAGGCAGCAGGACAGCCGCCGCCUGGGUGCCGCCGCCCGCCACGGCGACGAGAUCCCUCUUGUCGACUACCUCAACACCCAGUACUUCGGGGUCGUCGGCAUCGGCACGCCGCCGCAGAACUUCACCGUCAUCUUCGACACCGGGAGCUCCAACCUCUGGGUCCCCUCCUCUAGAUGCUACUUCUCGGUGCGUCCAUUAUUCUUGGUUUCCAUUAUUCUUAUUAAGCUUUAGACUCACUGCGAUUGAUUGAACGAUUGAUACUCCGAUGCCUAAUUUUACUGCCACGUACCCACUGCAGAUAGCAUGCUACUUCCACCACAGAUACUAUUCCAGAAAGUCUAGCACCUACAAGGCUGAUGGUAUAUGGCCUGACCUUUUUCAUUGUUACAGUUUUCUCACACCAUUCAGAGAUGGUCGCUGAAUCUCUGCACUGCAUUUUUUUCCAUCACCAAAUUAUUCAGGGGAGACUUGCAAAAUUACCUAUGGCUCUGGAGCCAUUGCUGGAUUCUUCAGCAAGGAUAACGUGCUGGUUGGAGACCUUGUCGUCAAAAGCCAGGUAAUGAAUUGUGUUUUCAGUGUUAUUCUAGUUCCCCAUAUCAACAUUCACAUGGGAACCGUACCUCUAAUGCUGCUACUUAUUCUCCUCAUUUCAGAAGUUCAUUGAGACAACACGCGAAACCAGUGUCUCAUUUAUCCUAGGGAAGUUUGAUGGCAUUCUUGGUCUUGGAUACCCCCAGAUCUCCGUCGGCAAAGCUCCUCCGAUUUGGUAUGUGUUCCACCUAUUUAGUCAGUAGUUCUGUUUUGAUAAUUCACUAGUGUUUAAGCUUGUCGUCUUGUCACCUGAAACACGCCAUUUUGUCAUAUGGCAGGCAGAGCAUGCAAGAGCAGAAACUUCUUGCGGACAACGUCUUCUCCUUCUGGCUUAACCGUAAUCCUGAGGCAUCAUCUGGUGGUGAGCUUGUGUUUGGCGGUGUAGACCCGAAACACUUCAAGGGGAACCACACCUAUGUCCCUGUUUCGCGCAAAGGAUACUGGCAAUUCAAUAUGGGGGAUCUCCUCAUUGAUGGUCACUCAACCGGCUUCUGCGCCAAGGGUUGUGCCGCCAUUGCUGACUCUGGGACUUCUUUGCUGGCCGGUCCAACAGUAUGUAUCUUCAUACUGAUGAUCCAUAAUUUCUCUGUAUUUGUAUGAUCAUAGGAACUAGGGCCUAGAAAUUUAAUGUUGAGCUGGAACCAUUGAUUGGCACAUUAAUUUCUUGAAUUUUGAUAGAUACCUGAAUAUGUAGUAUCAUUUGCUGUAUAUAUGAAUAUGAAAGGUCCCCAAGUUCUUAUGAGACAUGAGUGUAACCUUUUGGAAGGCAGGAUGGCAUGACUAAAAUCUUGAAUUUGUGUUGUCCGCAGGCUAUAGUUGCUCAGGUGAACCAUGCAAUUGGGGCUGAGGGAAUUAUCAGCACGGAAUGCAAAGAAGUGGUGAGCCAGUAUGGAGAGAUGAUCCUCAACCUGCUCAUAGCACAGGUUUGCUAGUUUCUGCAUGUCACAGUUUUUGUUCAGACUUCCAACUAUGGAAGAUAUUGGGUAAGUAAUUUAAAUCUGAACUCUAGUAAUUUGGUAAUGCUCUGCCUCUGCAGACAGAUCCGCAGAAAGUUUGCGGCCAGAUUGGUCUGUGCAUGUUUGACGGCACUCACUCUGUCAGGUUAGCCCAUUUUACCGGACCAUUGUAAUUAGGGACACAUGUUUACUUUUAUCUUGGUCAUUGGGUUGACCCAAUACUCAUCAAAAUGAAAUAAUCUUGAUUCAAAGCAAGAAAUGAAAAUGAACUAAACCAGUGACCCAGAACUAACAAUUGGGUACCCACUUGAAUCCCUAAUUCUAACACGUGUCAAACUGGUUUGUCUAUUUUACUGCAUAUUCUUCUUUUCAUGCUAUAAUAAACUAUCAUGCGUAAUUUUCUGCAGUGAAGGAAUUGAAUCUGUUGUUGGGACAGAAAACCUGGGCUCAAAUGUUAUGUGCUCAGCCUGUCAGAUGGCUGUUGUGUGGAUAGAGAAUCAGCUCCGUGAAAACAAAACAAAGGAGCUGAUAUUGCAAUAUGCUAACCAGGUUACAAAAUUUAUGAUUUGCUCUGGGUGGUUUCUCUUGCCAUUGUAGAACUAUAUUAUUGAAGACAAGAUUAUUCCUUGUGUUCCAGCUAUGUGAGCGUCUACCAAGCCCCAACGGCGAAUCAACAGUCAGCUGCCAUCAGAUAUCAAAGAUGCCAAAGCUUGCAUUCACCAUUGCAAACAAGACCUUCACACUAACACCAGAGCAGGUGCUUUCUAGUAGCCUAUAGCUCAUUUUUCAACUACAGUAACCUUGUUUUUUCAUUUUCUACAGCACAGUAGUCAAAAUUUUCAGCAGAUGUUGCUUUUGGUAAAUGAUCAACAAAUUUUACUGAACAUUUUGUGAACAAGAUACUAGUGGACUCAAACUUUUGCAGCUCAACUUUCAUCAGAAGAGACCUAUUAAAUUCUAGAUUAAGGACUCACUGUUGGCACAGUACAUAACUGAACAUUUGAAGUGCCUACUUUUAAGUGCAUAAAUUUCCUAGAAGUUUUGAAGUGAUAUGAUUAGGUGUUGAUAUUUGGGACCAAAAAAUGCCUGGUAGAUGGAAUGCAGUUGACUUUGUAGGUCUUAUUUUUCGACAUGGUUUGAAGUAAAGUCUGUUAACGUCACCUCAAGUUCCUUUUCAUUACAUAAUCAUCACUGCAAUUGCAUACAUUUUUCAAACUUUCUGAAACUUGUAUUGCAGUACAUUGUCAAGCUGGAGCAAGGAGGCCAAACUGUCUGCAUCAGCGGGUUCAUGGCAUUCGACAUACCACCCCCACGUGGGCCUCUCUGGUGAGGAACAAAACAUUGCGUCAUAGUUUGACAUUUUUCCUUCUUUCCCUUCGCAAUCUGAGAGCUUGCAUAUGAACCAUUGAAGGAUUCUUGGUGAUGUCUUCAUGGGAGCUUACCACACGGUGUUCGACUUCGGCAAGGACAGGAUUGGCUUCGCGAAAUCUGCAUGAGUGUGGGAGCACUCUGCUCUUCACAAAAGAUAUCCUAUCUAUUAGGGAGCAUUGUAAAUAAAUGGAUGGUGAAACUGAGAACGUGAUUUAGCACACGGUAGACCUUUCUUUCUAAAGAAGACCAAAUGGAUGCUUGGAGGAUGUGCUUGGACACACGUAUGUUUUAUGUUUACUGAAGAAAGGAACACCGAGAAAUAAUAGCCUGCUCAUCUGAUCUCAUCUCUUGAAAACUGUUUGUUCAUGGUUGUACACCUUUAUCCUUUGUAAAAAAACUUCUGGAUUGACUUGGAACUGGUGAGCAUGUAUCAAUGCAAUUUGCUUCUUUGUGGUAUAGUUCCUGUCUUCUUGGUUAUGUUGGACUUAAUUCUAUGCUUGGGGUGUCUGGAACAAUAAUCAGCAACACCUUUGGAACCUUGCUAGAGAAAUUACACACAUAUGUUUCCGAUUCUGGAUCAUGCAUAUACUAAAGUAAUGUAGCAACAUUGAGUUUAUUGUGUAUAGUAUUUUGCAUUAUCUUUUGAAUGUUUUAAGGAAAAAGUGUAUUUUCCAUCCCUCAAUUAUUGUAAAAGUGUGACAUUCAUCCUUCAUGUUUCAUUUGGUGCAAAUUAACCCCUUAAAUAACUAAAUUGGUGCAUUUAUCAUUCCCACAUUAGUUUAACAAUAGUUUAGUGUCAUAUAACAUCAGUUUAGGCCAUAUUAUCAUCUUACUAAUUACUGUUUAGCCACGUAUAAUAUUUAGUCAAUUGCUUUAAUAGUUUUGUGUGAAUCGGUUUCGUUAAUUUUCCCGAUAAAAUAUAUAUGUGGUAGUCAAUUUAGAGGACUUAUUGAUUUUUUUUGGGCUUUAUGUCUUCAACUCAGCAUAUUACAUUGCUAAGCAGUGAUUUAGAUGAUUACGUGGCAUAACCUGCCCUUAGGUAGAACUAUAAACCAUUGUUAAAUUAAGGUGGGGACGAUAAAUGCACCGAUUUAGUUAGUUAAGAGGUUAAUUUGCAUCAAAUGAAACAUGAGGGAUGAAUGUCAAACUUUUACAGUACAUGAUGGAUGAAAAAUACAUUUUUUCCAUGUUUUAAAGGAUUCAAUAGGGACUGAUUGGGCCUACCACUUGAUUGGCAUUUCGAAUUAAAUACAGUCAGCGCUCUAAAUAUUCCGUAUCAAUAGACUGUUUGUGAAAUUAAUGUCUUCCAAAUGGUUUACCGUUAAUACAUUAAGAUGGAUUACUAUUCUAAUGAUGAAUUCACAUCGAGAUAUAAAUAUUUUAGAUGCAUGCGAUAUUGCCAGAAAUAAUUAUCAUAUGCUAAUUCAUGCAAGUCGAUCACUCAGAGAUAGAUUUUUUGUUUGUUAACCGGAAGUUUGGCAUUUCCCAAAUUUUUCACUUGAACUCAGAGUGUAUAUACUGCAUUUUCAGUGUGCGCUUAUGCACAGCGCCUUUCAGUGGAUGGAAACUAAAUAGAAAGGAUAGCCUUUAAAUUAAUUCGGGUGUUGUGCAUCAGGAUAAUUUUAGUGUGCGCUUACGCAAGCUUCGACAGGGAUAUGAUGUGUUUAAUUGAGUCCUUAGUUUGAGCUGUGUGUAUAACAUAGAAAUCAGUACCCUCGUUGCUUUCAACAUUCAUGCAUACACACAUAUCAUGCAUGUGUAUGAAGUGUGAGUUAGUAUUAGUAUUUUUUUAUUAACAAUGACAUAAAUAGAUAAUUUAUAAUCGGGUCGACUUUGGGAUAUUCUUUUAUAAUAGUAUAUGUAGUUAAUUUAUUUGCAUAUUUAUAUGUUUAUUUUAGGUUAUUUUAAAAAAAUAUAGAUGUAAAUUAAACAGAAAUUUAGGAAGGUUACUUUAGAUUAUCUUUACAGUGGCAUAGGUGCAUAAUUUAGAUGAAGAUAUGAGUUAAUUUAGUUAUUUUUUUAAUGGCGUAGAUGAGUAAUUUAGACAGAAAGUGAAGGGGUUACUUUAGAUUAUUUUCAUAAUGGGGUUUGAUGAUUUGAGUCUAUUAGAUUGAUUGUCCAAUGUUAUGGGGUUUAAUGAAAUUUUUAGGACUUAUCUUUUUUCUACACAUCUUUUGAGGGUGAAAGUGAAGGCUCAGGCUUUCAAUUAGUAAAUAGUAAUAUUAUAAGAUAAAGAAGGCAAGAAAACAAAGAAAUUACCAUGAACAUCGAGAACAAGUGGUGUGAUUGUUUGUUCACAUCAAGAACAAAUUGCCUCUACUGCUAGGAGUUCACUGGAGGAGAAUGUCAGCGUGUGCUCACAGUUGUUGCACCUAAUCAACUUCAGGUGACAGAAAUAUAUAUACAAGGCGUUGAAAAUUAAAUCAUAUCGCCUCUAUAAAAAUCUCAUUUAUAAUCCAUUUACAACUCUACAAAAUAGGAUAUGUAACGUACAAAACCGAUGUACGUGUACAGACGUAUAUGUGUAUGGAUCAUGGUUGUAUAUAUGUACAUGGUCGUACAUAAGCUGGCUCUCCAAUGUCAUUGCCGGCUGUCAUGCAGCCGCUGUAAAAGUGCAUGCAAUGCAGUCUCGCGUGCUCCGGCUGCCGCGGCCGUGGCGGGAGGCUCAGUGCCGCUGCCACCGUUAUUACCAUCUCCGGCGUCAGCGCCGGCGCCACCCCGGGGAGCUGCUUCAGCGCCUCCCCCCAUGAUCGUGGAGAGGGCGGCCGCCAGCGCCGUGGUGAAGUUGGGGUCGCUGGUGAUCGCGGCGGUCAUCGUCUCCAGCGCCGCCCGGUUCCUGCCAUCCAUCAUCCCCAGCGACACCGCCGUCGGCGGCUGCGGCAACAACGGCACGGCCGGCCUGUGCGCGGCAGCAGGGAAGCCGUACAUCGGGAACGGCAUCGCGGGGAGGGCCGGCGGGCGGUGCUGGAGGUGCAGGCCCGCGGCGGACGCCGGCGGCGAGUGGGUGAGGUCGAGGGUGAUGGUCGGGAACGGCGCGGAGGCGGAGAGCGUGGCGCCCAUGGCGGCGGACGCGUAGGGGUACGACUGGAAGAGCGGCGCCGGCGCCGUGGCCGCAACGUGGUGGCCGGCGAAGAGCGCGUCGCGGCUGGCGGCCGGGCCCGAGAGGAGCAUGGCGGCCGCGGCGGAGGUGGUCUUGGCCAUCGCGGCGGCCGCCGGCGGGAGCUGGUGGUUGUGGGUGCCCUCGUACGUGGUGAUGAGCACCGCCUUGUCCUCCGCGCACCGCUGCACCUGCGUAUUUUCACGCACACGUGUGUUCGGUUAGUUACUGACGACGUGCUCCUUUCUUCUUGCAUGCACGUAGAGUAGAGGCAUGGCAUCUCAUCAUCUCAUCUCUACUAGCUGCACAGUCGCGUGCAUAAAAGCCAAACACGUUGCAAGUUGCUUGGAGCCAUUUUUUUAGUGGGAGGCGGGGAGCUUCCUGCAGGUGAGAUGUCACGAUCUGUGCCGUUUGACCGUGGAAGAUCGAAAAGGUGCAGACGUACGUGUCCAGCCAUCCCAUUGAUCACGGCGUGUGCUACUAUAUGUUAUCUCUGUUUCCAUUGGUUAAUUCAAUUGGGGACAGGUCACAGGUUAGACAAAGAGGAAGAGACGGGUGACUAGUAGCUAAUAAGGUUCAAAUCAUUUUCUUGUUUAGCUAAGUAUAUAUACAUGUUGCAUAAUACCUGCUACUCUAGUUAGUAGGGUCACCCCGUUUAACUCAAAUCAAGUACACACCAGCAGCCUUUAAUUUGUUUGGCAUUUCCUUGACCAAUGCAAUUCAUGCAUAGCUAGGAAAAUAGGUCGUUUUGGUGGACCAGUCAUUGAAUAAGCUAACCAAAUGCAUAUAUAUCAUAAUAAUAAUUCUGGGCUUAGUUAAGGCCAAUUUUCAGGUUAACCAAGGGCCUACCCUCUUACCUUAUGAUAUGAUUUGUUUGUAUGAUAAUGAUAUUGGCACAUUAUCUUUCUUGAAAAAUAUAACGAUAUGGUUUAUAUGCAAACAAAAAAGAUAAGAAUCAUUUUUCUCUAAUUUUAUCUAUGGAUGAACCAAUUUACUAGUCAAGUGCUUGGAGAAAUAGUGCAAAAAUAUGUACCUGCUUCCUGACGGGACAUCCUGUGGCCAUUGUGCAUCGGUAGUAAGCUCUGGGGCAUGGGUUACCCUUUGCCAUCUUCUGCCCAUACUUCCUCCAUUGGCAACCAUCGCUGAUCUACAAGUACACAUACAUACAUUGAUCCCCAACAAGAUUGAGAAAAGAUGGCCCAAGAAUUUCAACACUGAUUAUAAAACUAAAGUGAAGGCAUAACUGGUGGUAGGAUUAAUUUGCCAAAACACAAACUCUCGACAGAGAAAGUUGCAGUUCAUUCAGGACUCAUUGACGACAUACCAUUGGGGCCUCCGAUCGUGCACGCACCGACACCCUGGCUCUCCGCAGCGGCGCCUCCGCCGCGGCAUUCUCGCCGCGCUCAGGCGUCCCCGCCGUCCCAUCCUGCUUGUUCUGAUCCGCUUCGCCGCCGCUGCCACUGCCACCAUCGGAAUCACCCCUAUCGCCGUCAAACGACGCCGGGGCCCCAGCUCUUAUCGCCGGGGCCAUGCGGGGGUCCAUGAAUUGCACUCCCGCCGGCAUUGUCGCCGGUAGCAUCGAGUUCGCCGAGCCGCUGGCCUGUAUCGAUCCAUCAAAAUUGUAAUGAACGCGUUGCUGAUGAUGUGUGUUACUUGUCAUGAUCAUUGGCAGUACGUAGCAAUCAGAUUAAAGGAGAGAUAUAAUUAAGACAGUAGAAAAAUGGAACAUAAGGAUGUACGACGGAAAUGCAUCGGGGUAAUGCAGACAUAAACACGCUAACAACCAUUAGUAAGUGUGGCUUUGUUCUCAAGCUUAAUUUGUUUUGGCACGGCCAAAGGUUCUUGCUAGGCCUGCUAGUGGGGCGGCGGCAAAUGGGGAUUUCGGGUCGGGUUCUUGCGUGGAGGUUCGUUUGCAUGGGUAGUAGCGGUAUUAGAGGCCAGCAGGUCGGGGCGGGGUGGGUCUGCUACAUUUGCGGGUUGGGGUGGGUUAGAACGGAUUUUGUUGACCUCGCGCAGCGGCUCACGAGGCACGGGGCACCUCGUGUCGACGCGUCCUUGCGCCCGCAAGAAGAAGGCGACACCACCGCCCGCCGCCGUCGCCACCACCCCUCCCGUGCGAGGUCCUCCUCCGAAGGCCACGGAUCGAGGUACUCCUUUUUCUCUCGGAACCACACCGGCAACAAUCAAGGUUGCGCCAACAGAUCCUAUUCCAGGAACCACACCGGCAUCAGGUCCCUUCGAGAAGUCAAGGUGUGCCUCCUUCCCUUUUCUCUCCAAUUCACUACGAUCUGUUUCUCUCCAACGGAAUGCAAAAUAUGUGUGUAUCUGCUCUAUUUCCAAUUCAAUACGAAUGGUCAAAUGCAAGUUAAUGAAGAAAAUUGGAUACUGUGCAUUCGACAAUCUUGCAAAAUAUGUGUGUAUCUGCUCAUCUGAUUUACACUUCUCAAAAGGUUUAGGUUGUUGUCACUGUUAGUGUUACUCUCAAUGAAAGAUUAUGGAUAUACAUUGUCAAAUAGUCAGCAGUUUACAGCAGAAGUAAAUCGGUGUGUUCUCUCUAAAUUAUUGGCUUGUAUAAAUAGGAUUAGUAUAGAAAUAGAAUAGCAUGACCUGACAUAAUUAUCCUUAUCUGUGUGCAGCCCAGGAGGGAGUUAGGGAACUUUGAGAAGCUCAAAUGGAUCCUAAAGGUACCCAACUAAUAUGAUAUUCUAUCAAUUGGGUGUUAUGAUCACUGAAAGUCUAAUGAACUAAUCAUGUAGCUAGGAUCAUCGCUGGUUAAUUUAUCAACUAAUCUGUAUAGUCUGAUGAACUAAUCAUGUAGCUAGGAUCAGCUUCUGCAGCUAAAAAAGUGCCUGUUAAGCCCCCGUUAGCAGGCCGAUAUGCCUGUGAAGUUUCUCAGUUGUGGUCAUGUCUAUUAUUUUUGGAUGUCGAUGGCAUUUGUUUUUGUUUCCGGAAAAGAUGUGCGCAGGACUACCAAUCUACAAGACUGUCACUUGGCAAUUGUUUUUGUUUUCGGAAAAGGAGGAUUUGGCUAUCUAAAGAAAUAUUUGUCUUGUCUUACACGAACUGCUACUAGGAUGCUGUCCGGAAAUACAUGUGCAGUGAUCCUGGCUAGUAGUUUCAGUUCACUGACAUGGUGUUUCAGUUCCAUCUCUGAAUCUUUUUGCAACAUUUCAGUCAUCUCUGAAUAUUUACUGCAGUGGUGCACUAACAUGCUGCACAUGUUAUACAUUUCCAGUAAUCCAAAGAGUUGACAAUAUUUUCUGCAUCUUGCAUAUAUCUGUCUGCAUGUCAUUGUUGUUAGUUUUUCUAAAUAAUAUGCUGGAUUUUUCUGUGUUUUCCUUUGCAUCUGCAGCCACCUGACAUAAUUAUGUUUCUGUCAUUGUUUGUGUGCAUUCCAGGAGGAGGAGUUUGAAGAAGCUCAAAUAGCUCUUAAAGGUACACAAAUAAUGUCCUGUGUGGAGUUGCUUAGUUAGCAGUCUGCUAUUGUUUUCUGUUUCACAAAUAAUCCAAUAUGAAACUAUCAUACAACACAUUGUGUUCCAUACUGAAUCUUUUCCUUUCAUUUUUUUAGAUCACUGAUUGAAGAAACUUUGCCUCUGUCUCUGCAAAUGUUCCAACAGCAAAAUUGGGGAACUUGGAUUAUGAAUAUUUUUGUUUAUGUACACUAGACAUUGAGUUCAAUUUGGAUGUUUAUUUAUGAGUCUGCCCAUGUCGUACUGUCAUGUGUCUUCCAUGCAUGUUAUCAUCUUUGUGCUUGCGCUCUCUUGUGUUCAUAUGUUCGCAAUGUGAUAUUGCACUUGCACGAGUUGUAUGUAUCUCCUGCGUAUUCCGAGUCUUGAGAUGUGAAAAUCGCAGUUUCUUAACAGUGCUAGUGGAACGGUGCUAGUGCAGGUGCUGCAAGCAAAAGGGCACCAAGCAACUGCAACCUAUUGCACCCGUGCUCGGUGGGGCGGGGUGGGGUGGGUAGACUAGUUAAAUAUAUGGGGUGGGGUGGGUCAGCAGAAUUGCCUUAUUAGGUGUGGCCCCCAUUAGCAGGUCUAGUUCUUGCGCGAUGGACCAUCUACAUGCAUAGUAGCACUGUGCUACUGUAUACAUAGCACGUAAACAUGUAUAAGACACAAACACCUCUCUCAGACACAUAGAUUUGAUUAGCGACCUAAUCAGGUGUUGAAAUUUUGUUUAUGAGUUUUAAUGCUCAAUAGUUGAACUCAAGUAAGCUCAACUAAUAACACGGGUGUCACUAAUAGAGAACUGAUCUUUCAUCUACCCGCUUUUGUCCCGGUUAAUAUUUGUCCCAGGAUAAAAGUAGCUUUAGUCCCGGGUCAAAAAUGUGCCCCCGAAGGCUACCACGGGGGGGGGGGGGGGGGUCACAACCGGGACUAAAGACCCCCCUUUUAUCCCGGUUAAAGGGCCCAACCCUUUUGUCCCGGUUGGUUGGAAUUACCAACCGCGACAAAAGGGGGGCCUUUUGUCCUGGUUGGUAAUUCCAACCGAGAUAAAAGGGGGGUCUUUUGUCCCGGUUGGAAACUCCAACUGGGAUAAAGGGGGGCUUUUAUCCCGGUUAGAAACUCCAACCGGGAUAAAACGCCCUCCCAUGCGCCCCCUCCCCACAUUAACUUGUCUCUCUCCUUUAAUUUUUCCUUCUCUCUCUCUCCUCCUUAUCUUCUCCACCACAGAUGCCUCCCCCUCACGCACAGUUCUCCUCUCCCUCUCCUCCUACUCCUUUCCCUCCCCUCCCUCCCUUCCUCUCCCGGCCCCUCCCCUCCCUCCCUUCCUCUCCCGACCCUCCCCUUCUGUUGCUCCUUUCCUUCCCCCUCUGUUGAUCCUUCCCUUCCCCCUCUGCUCGCCCCUCACUGGCAGUGAGGAGCGGCAGCGGGGCGAGGGCAGGGCGCGGCGUAGAGGUGGGGCGGCCGCCGGUGGUAAGGAUGGCAACGGGGCAGCUUCGGAUCGGGUGGAGUGUCUGAGCAUCCAAAACCGAAACCCGAACUUAAAACUUGAAUCCACACCGAACACCGAUUCGGGUAAAAAUCCAUCCCUGAAAUCGAAACCCGCAGAUACCCGAAACCUGAGAAUACACAUUGCUUGCAAAACCUACAGAUCAAAUUCGCCCCCUCUCUUCCGUGGGGAGAUCUGGCGACGGCGAUGCCACUGGGGGAUGGUGCAGCGGGGAUGGGAGCGGGGGACUUCGUGCUGCCGGACGAGGUUCUGGCGACCUGUACGAGCAGCUAGGUGCGGCGUGCGGGAGUCACGACCUGGAGGAAAGCAUCGAGCAGCCGAGCAAGAAGAUGACAGCCAGGGCCAUGGUGGAGCGCCGGGAGGCGAGAAGGAGGCCAAGCCUCGAGCAGCUCAUCAAGAUGGAGACAGCGCCACUACCGCUGUCGUCACGUCCAGGCCGCAGGAGCAAACUAGAUACGACAUCCGAGGUCUCCAUUCGCACCACCGCGAAGGAGAAGCACACGCAGGAGCUGUUCUUCCCACCUAAAAGCCUGGUAGUUUCCAUCUCCGACGAUGAGUGGCGCGCCGCGGCCGUCAAGUCUGACGUCGACGACGACCGGCGGACGAACGCGAAGAGGCCUUGAGGAAAAUGGCGGGGUGCGAGCGGCGAGGCGGAGCGGGCGGCAGAGGAGUGGGUGGCGGGGCGGAGGAGCAGGAGGCAGGCGUGGCUGGGUGUGACCUGCGGCGUGCCACGUGAAGGAGACCGGGAGUCGCGGCCUCGCGGGACGGCGGGAUGAAGGGGGUGCCUGGGUGCGGGACGGACUGACGGAGGGCCUUAUGUACCUAGGUUUGCUAGGUGGGUUUUUAGUGGACUCAAUAUUUCAGGGCCCCGAUGGAGCUCCACUGGUGGAUUUAAAAAUCCACACCAAACCCGCAGUAUUUUGGGUAUCCGAACCUGAAAACUGUGGGCGAAAACUAGAAACCAAAACCUGCGGACCCGAAACCCGCAGAUAUCUGCCCCAAACCCGAUCCGCUACCAUCCUUAGCCGGCGGGCAGUCGCACGAGCGGAGGUGGGGCGGCGGCCGGCGGCGGAGGUGGGCCGGUCUGGGAGGCGCGGGGAGGAGCCGCUGGCGGGGAGGAGGAGGCUGGGGAGGAGCGGCAUGGUGCGGCUGGCGGGGAGGAGGCCGGCGGGGUGGAGGGUGGAGGCGAGUGGCGUGGGGGAGGACGCGGCCGGCGGAGAUGGCGCGGGCGGUGCACGGGCGGCGGAGGCCGGUGGUGCGGGAGCCGAGGCAGGCCUCCACCCGUCGGUCCUUUUUUUUUUGAAAAACUCUUUUGUCCUUAUUGGUAAAACCAACCGGGACUAAAGGGUGUCUUUGGUCCUGGUUGAGCGAUCCGGGACUAAAGAUCCUUCCUUCUGUCUCGAUUGUUUUAUUCCGGAUGGAUUUCGGAAGAUUUGACCCCUACCAACCGGGAUUAAAGGCGAGUUUUCUACCAGUGUGUGUUCGGUGGUCACGCGCAGAAAUGAGGUGCCAUAUAUCGUCUGAACAAUGUGUGAAUGCAGCCUUCGACAAUAUAAACUAAAUAGCAGUAUAUAUAGUAGACGUAUAUAUGAUUUAGGUAAUGCUGGCAAUGUGUGAAUGCACAAUUUGAGAUACACCGGCACGGUCCCUACUGCAUAUUUCUGCAACUUCAUUCACUGGUUGUCUGCAUAAAAAGUUGGUUUGGUUGCAUAGAGCAAGAAGAACGUAACUGAAAUUUGAGUAAUCAGAUGGAUGUAAAGAAAAUGGGAAUCAGAUAGGUUGGGUGUCAAUUCAUACGGACGCACGGGUUUCUAGGAGCAGAUUAUGUGUGAAAUUAAUAAAGUACCAGUCCCGCUUCGCUGGCUGCUGCUUUCACGAGAUACUAGAUAUUCAGGAGAUCUUAAUAUUUUAUUUGGUAACAUGAAAGUACAACGUUGACUAGCUAGGUUCCAACUACGACGCAGGUAGCCAUUUCUUUUGGACUUUGAACACGAAUUAAGCCAAGAAAGUACAGGUCGCAAUUAAUCAAAGAGACAUUAUGAAUGGCAAAGCUGCUGAUGAGAUGGUAGCAACGAGAUGCAAGGGCUUGGUAAGUUCAGUUUAGUUUACCUGUUGGUGCUGCUGGGCUUGGAUGAGCUGAUGGUACAGCGCGCUGUGGCUGCGGGUGAGGUCGUCCAGCAUCCGCCGCAGCCGCCGGUUCUCCUCGCCGGCCUGCCGGAGCUCCCCCUCCACCGUCGCCACAGCCAUCUGCAGGCAUAUAUAUGUGUAAAGAGGAUCAACAUGUGUGUGUAGUACAACGAUAUAUAUAUAUAAUUCUGAUAUGAUGUGGAAGAACAUUAAGGGAGAAGCCUACCUGUUUAUUAUGAUCACUCGCUGCUCCGGCCGCCGCCCCCUCGCCGGCGUUGACCGGCGUCGCCGCCGCCGUGGUCAGCAGGUCAAGAGCAGUCUGCAAGAACCCAAGGACACGCAAACCGGCACCAAAAAAAAAUCAAGCUCAUACAUGUAUCGAUCUAAUGGCCGUCUUAAUUACGCACGCAGACAUCAAUCUCAAGCUCAUCUGGAUCGGAGACUUACGUUGACCGUGGUAUUACCGCGUCCUAGUGCUCCUGCCUCUCGGCUUCUUCCAUCCCUACCGUUGCCGUCAUCGUCGUUCCGACGGUGAGCGCCGCCGGUGGAGAAGAAGUCGACCUCCUUGAUCUCGCUCCUGCGCCUGCCGCCGCCGGCGUGGCCGAAGGCCUGGUCUCCAUGCUCCGCCAAGAUCAUGGCCUCCUCCUUAUCUUCCUCCUCCUUGUGCUGCUCUUGCUUUGGCACCAAGUCCAUGGAUGGAUUGGAGGUAUCAAGCCGGAGAAUGGAGAGGACGAGAAGGCUAUAUACAAUUUUUGUGGCUUGUGGCCGUACUAGCUAGCUACAAGCUAGGGAAGAGAGAGAAAGAGACGAUGAGAUAGCGAAAGAGACGAUGAGAGAGAGAGAGAGAGAGAGAGAGAGAGAGAGAGAGAGAGAGAUGCCCAACUGUGCAAGCUACAAAAGAAGCACGUAACGUGAAACGGAAAGACUUGGACUUUGGACUUGCGAAUGGAGACGGGACGGCAGGAGGAGUUGGACCAAUGGGAGGGGGUUGGAACUGGUGGGCCAGCCCCGUGGCGUCAGCGUGAGAGGUGGCUGAGGCUGGAGGCCACGCAGUCCACGUGUCGCUGCGCGUGGGCCGUGUCAAUGGGGUCAACGGAUGCUGUGUUUUGCGACUCGGGGAGUGGCAGAGAGGAGGCCACGACCCAUGCAUCUCGAUCUGUCAACAUUUUCAACUUAUACUGGUUGGGUUUUUGUACAGCUUGUGUCCUUUUUAUACAUAUUGGCAAUUGAAAUUUAGGUCUCUUGACAACUCGAUCAUGGUGUGGAUUCAAUACAAGCUCCAUGGAGUGCGGUCUCUAAAAGCCGUUUGCUGAGGGCACAGAUCUUGGUUUGAUACGCUAAUCCUCAAAUAAAGCAUUUUCAAGAUUUUGGUGUCAAAGCUCAUAUAAGAGAAGGAUUUUUAGGGUUUUGUUCCAUCGUCACAAACUCAUCGCACAUAUUGGUUAAUUUGGAGAGCAGAAAUUAAACCAAAUAGUGAGUACUGAGUAGCUAGCUACCACUAGUAUUUCUCCCGUCCCAUUUCGAGACCAAUUGAUUUUGUUGUAGGCUAGCAAUGCAGUUGGCUCUAUGUCCAUGUGCUCGUAAAGACAACCCAACGUCAUCAUUAUAUUGGUUUGUAAAAAGGCCACCUGUAUGUAGUUUCACAUUUAUACUUGCCAGACAAAAUAGAGGUGGACUUAUAUAGUGACACACAUAUUUUUCAGCCAUCACGACUAUCUAUCUAUCAUCUUAAUACAAUAGUGUUAAAAGAAGUCACCACGUUCGUCAAGAGGGUCUAGAAAUUCCCACGUUAAUCGAAAAAGAGAAGAAUAUGCAUCGUUGGAUUGAAAAUCUAACUGUCUUAGAUUAACUCAAAGAGUCCAUGUGGGAUACAAUUAAUUAGAGAUAUAUAUAUUAAAUUGCUAUAAUCGAAAACACAUGGAGAUACAAGUCUUUAUUGAUUUAAUUUUGGUUCUUCUCUAUUAGGAAAUAAACUUUCCAAAAAAAAACCUCGCCACUUAUGCAAGGAAAGAAAGCAAAAGAAACACUUCUUAUGCGGUACAGUAGUCAUCUAACUCGCCGGUCGCCGCGAUCGUCCAAGGCGAUCAACUUCGGCGUCCUUCGCACAAGCCUACCCGAUCGAUGAUCCCGCAAGGCCGUGUCCUUGAGGCUGCCGAGACGCACUACCUAUGCACGGUCGCCACUCUCUCCGUAUCGUGACAACCGCCUCCAAAGCACUCCCGUCGAUGCUGCUCCACCGGCUGUCUCCUACAACGAUGCUCCACUGACAACGAAAACUCCGUGGAAGGAUAUAUGCAAAUCUAAAAACGAGGGCUUCAAAAUAUUAGCGUUGGCAUGCUGUCCUUGGCGUUGUAUGUGAUACUAGCAAAUAAAAGCAAUGGAAGUGCUGUGGAGAUGGAUAAUUCUGGUAAAGAAAGCGGUAUUUAAGCACUAACAAGCUGGAAACAGCAGAGUAAGAGAGUGCCCACUCGAGUAGAUGGCUACAUUGACAAGUUCUACUUCUCGAACUAAAACAAAUGGGCUUCUAUGGCAAGAAAUUUAGGGGACGAGGACGUCCCAACUGGAUGUGACUGGACAAAUUUAUUCUGAGAAAGAUAUAAUAUGAGCAACAAUCGGAAAGAUACGUAAGAAACAAUUCAUCAUUGAUUAUCUAGAAAUAAGACAAUAUCUUAAGAAAAUAUUCAGGCACUCUAUAUAUCGUGAUGAGUUGAUAUAUAUGAUAGUCAUAGAAGUAAACUAUAAGUGAUCUAUUACUCCUUUUUCGAAAGGUCACCUAUUAUGUCAAUAUUGUUGUAGGUAGAAGCCACCACGUGUACUCUUAAGGGUUUGAAAUUUCCAAGUUAAUUUGAAAAAUAAAAGAACCUAAAAUGUUGGUUUUUAUGAUCAUCUAACUGCCUACGACAGAUAAAGUUGAUUAAACCAAAUUUUUAUGAAGAUCUUCAUAAAGGACCUUUGGUUUAAUCUAAUUUCCAAUUCCAUAUUUAAGUGAUAUAUUAAUGGAUUUGAUAUGGACCUUUGGUUUAAUCUAACUGCCUACUCCUAAGUUAUAUAUUAUGUCUUCAUAUUUCCAAGUUUAUGAAGAUCUAAAGGUCUAGAUUAAUCUAAAGAGACCACAUCGUAUAAGACAGAUAAAUAUUUAAAUUCAAAAUUAAAAAUAUUAUCUACGAAAUAUGAUAUGGGAUGGUUUUAAACCUACAUGGACUCAACCUGCUACAUUGAUAAGAUAUUGCAGGGAUAGGAAAAAAAUGUGUUUGGAAAUAAAUCAUAUCUCAAUUAGAGAAGAGUCGGAGUAAUAAAACAAAUUUCUAAAUAUUUUUAUUUGCUUUUGCGUACGUAUCGCAUCCUUGCAUGAUUGAGGCAUUCCAAUCUAUUCUUUUUACUUCUACGUACCAAACACCUUUUCUUUUUUAGCAAAACAAAACAAAAAAUAAACUAGCCGCAAGCAAUUUUUCUUAUUUCUCUAUUUUCUCUUGCAUUGUCCUUCAGUAUAAUCUAUUAUUAUCUCAAUACCCUAGCAUGAAGAGGUCAUCAUGUUCACCAAGAGGGUUAAGAAAUUAUUAUAUUAAUAAAAUAUAAUAUAUAGAUAAUUGGAUUUUAUGGCUGUAGUGCUUAGUAUUAGAGAAGAGAACCCAUUUACCAAACUCAUUCAAUUUUAAGGCAAAUAGGCCAUGGAGCUUUUGUGACGAUACCAUACCCAACUCCUUGUGGACUUUAGUCGGCAUCUUAGGGCUGCAAGAUAGAAGAGCGGAGGCAUAUACGUAGGACGACACCAGAGGCAUGGUGCAUAAAUCGAACAACGGAAGUGUGGAUGUCGGUAGCAACAACUUGCGUGUGCUAACUUCAUGCAACACUGAGGGUCAGAACCUCCUGAUGGACUUUAGUCGCUAGCUUAGGGCCACGAGAUAGUACGUCGGGCGAAGCAAAAGCAUAGUGCAUAAAUUGAACACCAGAAGCAUGGAUGUUGGCAGCAACAACUUGCACCAUGGAUGCUUGCUUUUUUUUAAGCCUCUCAUCUAGGUACAACUAUAGUAUCUGUUCAUGGAUGCUUGCUAACUUCAUACAACAUACAAAGCUAGAAUAUGCAAAGCCACUUCUUUGCAAGUAACUAAAAACCAUGGUGCACGUGAAAUAUUAGAAGGAGAAAGAAACAAAUAACGGAUCCUAGAGACAAAAUCACCGUGAAAGAGGGCCUGCGCACAAUAGUAAUAGCGAGGAAUCCACAUGGACAUAUAUAAGGAUAUGUGAGAAUAAGAACCCUUGAGAAACAUGGUGGUCGUCCGAUAAUGAGGUCACCACACAUGACCUGACACAAUUCUCAUCACGACAACCAUAAUCACUAGAGGCAGCUAGAGAGAGAGGUAGGAAGAUAGAGGGAGGGAGGGGGAGAGAGAGGGAUGACCCUGGAUCUCGAUUUGACCAAUCAUAUUGAUCUUCCCUCACUGCAACUGGAUUUACGUGUAUCACUUAACUCCGAUGGCGAGUAGGGCUAGCAGUUAGAGCCAUACUAAUCAGUGUAAAUUCGCACCCGCCUAAUGGUCGUCUAUCCUCCAAAAUCCAACAAUCGUAGUUGUUGCUGAUGAUCAAAAUAGGGUGAUAGUGGGAGACAUAGAGAACUGUCGGGAUACGAGGUAGGCUACGCUAGCGCAAAUCAAAAUUUCUACCGCGUAUAACCAGGAAGAACUGCCGUAUAAGGAUCACGGGAUUACCACUCGACGCACUACUGGUGCGGAAGAUGUAGAUAUGCGUCGGUGCAGUGAAGACGAUCACGUAGUCGUACGUAGUCGAACAACGUAGUCGUACGUAGUCGAUCACGUCCAGCGGCUCCUCAGCAGCUCGUCCACGUGCACAGCAAGAUCGCCUCCGGUGCCGCGGCUCGUCGUCGGCUCGUCGUGGCUCGUCGGCGGCUCGUCGGCGGCUCGUCCAAGUGCUGCAGGCGCAACACCUCCAAGGUAUCCACACGUGCAGGGAGGAAGCGUCGCAAGCCGGAUUGCUAGAUCCGCGAGUUGCAACGGGCGAGGGCGUGGGAGGCGCGGCAAGAGUGUUCAGCCAAAAGGUGUAAAACCCUAGGGCGCCCCCACCCCUCUAUUUAUAGGGGUUCCUGAUGGGCCUCUGGAUCCGAGGCCCAUUAGUACUCCUAAACCUAAUCCAACUCGGAUCAAAUCCGAAUUGGGCUUCCAGCCCCUUAAGUGUGCGACCCUUUGGGUUCGGAUACGUAUAGACAUGGCCCGAGUACUCCUACUCGGCCCAAUAGUCGGUAGCGGCCUCUAGCAAGACGUGCCAACUCCUAUACGCACACGAAGAUCAUAUCAGACGAACCAUCACAACAUAAUAUACAUGCUAUUCCCUUUGCCUCACGAUAUUUGGUCUAGCUUCAAGCCGACCGCUCUUUCUCGAUCCUGUGAUUCGGAAUCCCUUUGUAGGUUAACUCUUAACCGUACGUAGCAUGGCCAUGCAUUUUCUGAUCCGAUCACUCGAGGGGCCCAGAGAUAUCACUCUCAAUCAGAGAGGGGCAAAUCCCAUCUUGAUUGACCAUGUCUCAUAGCAUGCUUCUUGACAAACCCGAAAGCUACCUUUAUAACUACCCUAUUACGGCGUAGCGUUUGAUAGCCCCUAAGUAGGUCAAUCCACAUCUAGAAUACAUGCGACAAUCUCAGGUCUAAGGACAAAGCGUAUAUGUUGUUUAAAGAGAGAACUACUUCUCGUGUUGGGUCAGUCCUAACACAUGUCUCCACAUGUGUCCACAUUAUUAGUUCAACAUCUCCAUGUCCAUGACUUGUGAAACAUAGUCAUCAACUAAUACAUGUGCUAAUCUAAUAUUCAUGUGUGUCCUCACAUGAACUCCGACUAGGGACAACUUUAGAAUAACCAUACAAGUAAAGAGUUUCACAUACAAUUCACAUAAUUGCAAAUCAAUUCAAGUAGCCUUUAAUGGAUAUUCAAUGAACACAAUAUACAAAUCAUGGAUACAAAUGGAAUAUCAUCAUCUCUAUGAUUGCCUCUAGGGCAUACCUCCAACAAGAACACCAUGUGGAUGGAGUAGCUAUUGGAUCCCGCAGCAGAGCAAUAGAUCUGGUACAUGAUGGGGCAACUUGAGGGUAGGGGCAGCCAUAAGGUGGACAUUCAAAAUGUUGGAGAGGGAUGUGGAGGAUAAAGGAAGCGAGACAACCAACAUAUGCAAGGGCUUAUGAGGCAACGUUGUGUACAAGAGGGUAGGAUGUUUGAAGAGUAUCUUGGCCUCCUUAAGUGGAUUUUGAUGAUUUAACGAUGCAAGCUUAAGUGUCUAACAAAGUUUCAAGUGCAUAAGCAGGUUUAAAAGGAUUAUUGGUCAUGAAGCACUUGUGAUGGACCCCUCAGAAGGAAAUAAAAUUAUUAAACAGCAUAUUCUCAAGUCUAAAUUUAUUUUUGGUUUGAAUUUGAGUAUAGGAAUGCCGCACUAUUAAGAGGGAUGCGUGAUCUCUGGUCUUUACGUUGAAAAAGUGCUCAAAAUGACCUAACAAACCUAUCAGAGACACCCUUUGCACCUGCACAUCACAUGGGGAUACUUAGUGGUGCUAACCUGAGAGUUCUGGAAUUUUCCAGAGGUUUUUCUGGAAUAUUUCAGAGGUUCAGAGUUUUUGGAGGUCCGGAUUUUUUUGGAAAGUUUUCUGAAAAAUUCCGAAGGUUCCGGAAGUUUUCAAAGAAAGUUUCGGAAAUUUCUGGAACUUAACCCCAACGGCUAGUUUCGGGAUGAAGGGGUAUAAAUACCCCCUCACCCCCUCCCAUUCACUCUCUCUUGCCUCCUCACUGUCCUGAAAGCUCAGAAAGCAUUCACUCCCCUCUUGGCCUUAGGUGAAGAUUUGGUGGGGGAUUUAAGGAGGGAUUUUUGAGAGAGCAAGGGAGUGUGCUAGUGAGCUGAAACUCCAUCUCUUGAGCACCUUUGUUCUUCGUCAAGCUGGCGUUCCGCAUUUGUUACUCUUGGAGCUUCAAGCUCCUAGCCAGCUAGGUGUUGCUCGGUUGAGCAUCCAAGCUUUGUGGCUGCCUCGGGAAGUUUGUAUUGCCCCGACGAUUGAGUAAGUGACUCUACCUCGAUCUUUGUGGUCACUAGAGGGAGGAAAGUGGUUUAGGAGUGAAAAGCUCACCCUUCGUGGGUCCUCAAAGGAGACGUAGGCUUCAAGGUGUGAAGCUGAACUCCGGAAAAUAAAUUCCUGUGUCUCUUGGGCUUGUUGUUCUUAAUUUCAUUCAUAUUCAAGCAUAGAACAUUUUUCUAGGGUUCGUACUCGAUCUACUUUUCUAGCAAGUUUGGAGCUGUGCUAUCUUAUGUUAAAGGCUUAGAAUAACUUGUUGAACAACCUAUAUUCGUCGAUCUACUUUUCAGCAAGUUUAUCUUGAGGUUGUAGUUGAUUUCUGUCAAAGUCCGGAAAUAUACGAAGAUGUCUUCGGAAAUUUCCGAAGGUUAGAAAUUUCCGAAACAAUCUCUAGAAAUUUCCGGAAGUUGUUGAUAAGUUUGUUCGAAAGUGUAAAAAUUUUCAAGUUCGACUAUUCACCCCCUCUAGUUGACAUCCUAGAUCCUUUCAAUGUUGCAGUUGAUGGUGUCAUGGAGAUGAGAUGCCACAUAGAGGAGGUGUGCAACCACAUCCACGUGCAUGGACUACGAGAUGAGACACAUGGACAUAUAAAUAGAUGGAUACCUGAAUUUGGCAGCAAGAAGCAGCUUGAAAGUGUCAAAGUUGUGGCUUUCACCGAUUGCCUUAACACUACUAAAAAAGGUUUUGUUGUGCCGGUUGAAACAUCAUUUACAGGGGUGGGUGCAUGGCCCACUUCUGCUUUUUGCAGCUAAAAUACCUGUUUGCAGCAGCGGACCAUUGACCGUCCCUCCUAAAGCCAUUUUCAGAGCGGAUCACUCCAUGGAUCGGCCAUGCACAUGAUUCUUCAGGGGUGGGCCAGAAGCUAUAUCAACCUCUCCUUUUUUAGGAGUGGGUGAACUUAUUUGCAUCCAUUUAUUUUGAAAUAAUACAUCCAAAUAUUGGAUCAAAUCUUACUACCCACGUAAAUAAAUAUAUUUUAGCAAAAAUGUAUAAAUAUUUAUAUUACUUCAGUAAAUAUCAAAAAGAUUUUUAUAUCAUAUAUCCCUUUUCUCCUGAAAGACACGCAUUGAGAAUAUGAAAAUUAAAAAACAUAGAUGAUAGCUUAGUCAGCUACAAUGAUACGAUUAACACAAAUAUUUAUAUCUCUUUAUUUUAAAAUAAAAUAUCAAAAAUUUAGCAUAAAAAAUGUAGCUACGCACGCUAUUUGUGCGGGCCACCUUGCUAGUUAUACAUUAUCUAGCCGUAGCAAAUUUGUGGAGAAUUGAGAAAGAAACACAAGGAAGACCGAGAUAGCCGGCCAUUGGGGCUGGCUUGAUUAACUAGCUGGUCAAUGGCCACCAUCAGCUACUUGACAAUGUGCAUAAUCAAACAGGACCGGACGGACCCUUUCAACGUAGACUUAACAUGCAAAAAUCCGCUAGAGUUGGCUUAUUCCUACAAGCCACCUAGAUGCUGUUUCCUUGGUCGAUUACCAUGUGAAUGCCUGAGAUUAGCGAAUAAACGGUAGCUUGUACAUUCUCCAUCCACGCACGUUGACAAUGUAGCCGUCGACGUUACUUGUCUGCUAGCUAAUCUUAUGGUUAUUUAAAUUUCUAUCCCUGGGGAGUAUGUAUGAACCAAACCCUAUAAUGCUUAUUAUGUUACACGCAAAAUAUCUGAGUUUUUAGGCAAACUGGUUGACCCCAACUUUUCUCCCAAGUUCCGGCGCCAUUAUUCUAAAAGAGCAAAACCUAGCCUCCCCGUGGCCCCCACCACCCCAACAAUACCUCAUGUCCAAUUUCCUUGGGUUCAGUUGUAUGGAAACCGGUUUUUUUGCAAUUGGUUGUACCCCCUUUUCUAGGCUGUGCCAAGCUGUCAGGGAAACUAAUUCAAUUUACCUACUAUAUUGAACCAUGAAAACUUCCAAGGAAAAGGUUAUAUAUCCUAGAGGCUGACUGGCAAAGAUAUUCCCUGAAUAAUAACCUAGUUUCCUUGACGUGGCUGCCCGGAAAAGCCGUCAAGAAAAUUUCCGUUAGUGACCAGCACCAAGAAAACUAAAUUUCAUUGCCCCUCUAUCGAUCCGUGAGGGUAUUUGCUUGCUUGGCUUCCAUGUGAAAACUUUCUUUGGCAGUUUUGCUAACAUACGUGGCAGGUUUUUACCCUCACCAAAAAAAAAUAUUUAUGUUUCCUGGUAGUGCCUAAACGGAGAGGCAGCAUGUAAUUGGCAACACAAUGCAACUUGAACUUUUCUAGAUCAACCACCCGUGUAUUAUUCUACCUUACGAGAGGAAUUUCGUGUGGUAGCUACUCCAGAGAAAGAAAAUAACUCCUUCUCAUCUGUUUCGUGAGGGGAGUGUUGGUUUCGAGCAACCUCUCCACCGAACAAUUAAAUGAAAAAAAGAUACACCAAUUAACAACGACACUGCAAAGCAAAGGUGUAAUAUGUAGGAGGUGCCACCCUAUUUAUAUGUAGGGUGGUAAAGGACCUUUAAUUUAGCCUAACAAAUUUAAGGAUCGGGUUUCAUAAGGGCUAGAACAUAAUAAUAUACUCAUCCAUCCCAAAUUAUAAGUCAUUCCAAUAAUCUUGGAGAGUCAAAGUAUCUCAAGUUUGACCAAAUUUAUAUGAUAAUAUAAUAACAUUUAUGAUGUCAUCUAAGUAUCAUUAGAUUCUUCAUCAAUUAUAUUUUCAUAGUAUACCUAUUUGAUGUCAUAAAUCUUUAUAAUUUUCUCUAUAAUUUUGGUCAAACUUGAGAUGCUUUGACUCUCCAAGAUUCUUGGAAUGACUUAUAAUUUGGGAUGGAGGAAGUAUGAUUUUGAACUAAAAAUAGAUAGAGCUAGGUUGGAUUGUGAAGGAUGCAUGAGGGCCAUGAUCCAUUAGCACCUUACGGUGGAGGUGCCACCCAAUUUAUAUGUAGGAGGUUUCAUUUCGUAUCCCCAAAAUGCACGUGUUUACCUACUAUAUAUUCUUGGAAUAUACCUUAGAAAAAGGUAAAAAAUGUGUACAAAUUCGACUUGUAUUCCUCUAUAGGGACACGUCUUUCACGCCACUCCCUGGUGACCUUCAGCGCCGCCGACAACUUCAUCAUCUCCAGCACCUCAACCAUGGCGUUAGGUUAUUCCCUUACAAAGGUGGUGUGGGCAUCUGCCUGGGUCAGCUAUUCGCCCAUUACCUGUAACGCCUUGCACACAGAAGAAGGAACAAAACACACAUAGUCGUAUGUACGAAGGUAAUUGGGAUGCGCCUACGAAGGUUAACUACAAUGGCAAUGGUUGCCUAAGAAGGUAAUUGACCUGCGCCGAUCCAAUCCAAUGAGCGAUUGUGCGGUCUUAUUAGUUGUCUCCCUGUUGCGCGAAAAUGAAAACCAUGGAAAAAGGCGCUCGACUGCAACCUUAUGGUUAAGAAUUUGCAAGUAGUAGCUAAUAAGAAUGCAAACAUGGGUAUACAUGAGCGUGAUCAAACUUACCUUUGCAGUAUAUAUACUAUAAAAGUUGACAUAAAGUGUACCACCAUGGUCACUAAUUUCCAAACUUUCAUGUCACGUGAUGCACGAAUGUAAUGCAUCCAAUGAAACUAUAAGUUGACAAGUGGUGGCAAAUUAUCUGCAGAUCCUGGUCGCAACAAAAUAUUGAGAAACACAGAUUCAUAUAUUAUAUAUCCACAUGAACAAGACUUGUUCGGCAAACCACUCUAGCCAGCAUUUCCUGCUAUAUCUAGUGUAAAAAGGGGCUCGAAUUAGGCAAAGGUGGUAAAGAAAUUCAAGUACGGAGAGAUCUGAUCUGCGCAGAAUUGUCGUCCUCCAAGAUCAAGCCCUAGCUAGCCUCUAACAAGUCCAAGCUAAGCGGCGAAUGAAGUCAAGAGUGCAAGCAAGACGUCUUCUGCCUCAUGCAGCAUGUGCUUUAUUAUAUGCAGGCUACAGUUGUUUAUAGUUUCAAAAGGAAUGCCUGCCGGAGAUGUAGUAUGGUCAUCGAUCCAGAACCAGAACCAUACAAGGGCAUGAGACACGGGAAGGAUCAACCGAGGUCGUCGCGAGGUCGCAAACGACGACGGAAUUGGGGUCAAUAACAAGAAGCUAAGUAACCACACAUGCUGCCAGGGAAAGAGAAAGGCAUAAAGGAGGGGAGGGCCCUAAAGGUGAAAGCAACAGGAGGCCUGGCCGGGAGAAAAAGGUGAUGGACAUGUGCAUGAGCACGACGUGUUGACAUGCACGUACGUGGAGAGAGAAAGCUUUAGAACUGAAAGGGAUCAACAAGCCAAGAACGAAGCUGCAAGAGGAGAGACCAAAACGUCCACCAAAGGUAGGUAGAGCUUCAGCCGGUAAAAGAUAGCGGCGCCCUGGCUUGCACUCCGGAGCCUGGACUUGGGCUGGUACUCGCAAUCAAGUUGCAACUGGUAGAUGUGGAUGCAAGAGGGUAAUAUCUCGAUCCGGUGAAAAAGCCAAAGGGAGAGAGACUUGUGUGGACCUAAGCUCUAGCGGUGGCGAUUGAGACUUUUGAGAAGGAAAUUAAGCUUUGGCUUAACUCUUAAGCGAGAGGGACCCAUAACUCACUAUUUCAACGACUUAAACGUUGCCGGCCAAAUUAAAGGACAUCGAGGUGGUGCAUUGGAAGGAUCAGCUAGUUAGUUAUAGAGAGCUAGGUGGUAUGUAUCUUUUGAUUUCAUCCGAGUUACUAGUUGGGAGAGCGACUAGCCGCGGUCGGACGUGGAAGUCUGGCGUAGGAUGGAUCCGCGCUGGGUAGUACAUAUAUUUGAUUGUGAUCUCCAAAUCAAGUGCAUUCAACUCAAAAUUUUAAGCUUAUGUACUUUCCCUGAGGCUUCAAACGUGGAAAUAGAAGUUGGCUACAAUUAUUUUAUUUAAUCGUGCCCUUCUAGAUUCGAACUUUGGAGCACGGCUGUUGGAGCAGGACUGGGUGGGAGCAUCAGGGCGGAUGAAGAGGUUAGUGUGGCAGUGGGAAGCGACGGUGAUUACUCACCUAUAAUUGUGAUAACUUCCCUAUAAUUGUGUUUUGUAAAAAAAAAUACUCACCUCUUCUUUUAUCUAAAAUAUUUUAAAUUAACCCCUAAGUCUACAUCUAAAUUACUCGCCUAUGUUCUUAUAAAAAUAGUAUGAAGUAAUAAUUAAGCACCAAAUUUGCAUGUAAAUAACUCACUUCCACCAUUAUUAAAAAUAACCUAAAUAACCUAAAGUAAUUCCCUAUAUUUGCAUCCAAAUUACUUUCCUAUGUCAUUAUCAAAAAACAUCCCAAAGUACUCGUAUAUAUGCUUUUAAAAUUAUCCCCUUUUGAUAAUGUUAAUAAGGAGAAAACUACCCCAAUGUGUAGAUGUAUGAUACACGUCACCAUGUAGGCCACUUGCCCGCGUACGUUAACUAUCAACAACAUAACUCAAAUAAUCAAAAUUUCAACUAAACAAAACAAACACUAAUAUAUAGAGAGGCGUUAUGCAAAGGGGGAAGUAACUAUGAAUGGGGUGGGAAAGCAUACAGAGUAAUCGUAACUAAAGUCUAUCACAGAUGGAUAGAGAUUACAUAGCAUACUUCUCUUGCGUAGGCUUACAUGUGUCUAAUCCAUAUUAUUGGCUCUAAAUUAAAUUCUUAUUUAUUAGGACCCUUCUAUAAUUCCUACCUCAAACAACUUAGCUUUUGAUCUAGAUUCUAUAAUCCAAAUUGCUCAGACUCCACAACACACUCUUUCUGUCUUUCAUCGUUUCUUGCCAUGGCACAUGUCCCAGCAUCCCACCCCAUCGAGUCAACAUGCAAUGAGUCAAGUGAGGGAAAGAUGCCAUGAGCUUUCGGACCUUGGCUUACUUAUUUUGAGAAUUGCUAGCUAAAAGAAACAUAGCUUAAUAAAAAAUAAUACCAUCUAGCUAGGACUCUUGUACAUUUCGACGCAUACUACGUAGAUGGUGUGCAAUUAGUACUUCAGCGGAAAGGAUAAGCUGACGAAAGAACCGUAUACGAUACGGUUCACCUAAUUUUCUCCCUAUGAAAACUUGUUGUCUUGUUAAUAACAAAGUCUACUCCAUAUUUUGGCCGUAUACUAACUGGCAAUGCCGACUAGGUGGUGGCGCUGGAGAACAAUAAUAUUCUUCCGACGAAGAUUGACAGAGAACCUCCUGGCCGAGGCCGACCUUGACAUGUAUGAUGACCGCGCCGCGUACCAGGUCACGCGCGCACAGAGAUGAUCAGGUCGUCGACGACGAUCGUCCGUCCAACCGUAUACAUCCAGAACCGGCGGAUAUUUCCGGUGGUCCAUCCAGUCCGGUGCGGUCACCGCCGUCGCCGUCGCCGGCUACUGGCGGCACGCAAAUGGACCGCGGGAUUAUCGGAAUCAGUUGAUCGGUCUCCAAGCUGGGAACGCGACGCCGUCGUGACUGACUGCUCGCGACGGGGGCUGAAAAACAUGGUGCUUGUUCCGGCACGGCGAUAGGUCAGGGCUCAGGAUUGGAACUUGGAAGAGGCGUCGUCAGCUAUUUCUUUCUAUUAGCUAGGACGACGAGAUAGAACGAGCGAAUUAGCUACGAGUACUGCUAGCUUAGCUACAGCUCAGGAUUGAAGCUUCCCCAUCGCCCACAUGGGUCGCGGUCGCUGUCGACCGGUGCUGCAGGCAAGUAUGCCGGCGUCCACGGCGUGAUCAUGCAUCCUCGUCUUCUCCAUCUCCUACGGUCCUAGCUACCCUCGAGCCUCCGGCUACAGUCGAGUUGUCAGAGUUUGUGGCUUGAUGUGGGCCAAUAACUCACUUCUUCUGCAAUAUAAUGCUGCCUCCAACUUUGACGAUCUUCCGCCGCCCCUGCAUUCUCGCGAUCCAUGAUCCCCGUGAACCACCGGCGGACGACGUACGGCAUCUCCGCUGCCGUCGGCCGUCUUCCUCGAUCUCUAACCCCAUCGUGGCUCCGCUAAUCCAAGCCUCUCUCAGGAUUGCCAACUGAUCGACUCUAGUGUCUGUAUCUCGUCACCGGUCACCGUACAUCCACGCACCAAUGAUCUAACAUGUGCAUUUCUUUUCUUUUUCUUUUCAGAUCUGCUACUGUAUGUAAGCCAGAAAGAACCCCAGCGCUGCUGUAAGUCCUGACUUUUGCUCUCCACUUGCCACGGCCCACGGCCCAUCCGUUUCAUCGGCAAUUCUUUUCUUUUGAGAGAAAAAAAACUUUCAUCGGAAAUCGGAGCAAGAUUCGAGACACGCGAAAGGAAGCUCAUUACAGUUCCUGGCAACGCAAUGCAAACAACCGUGGGCGCAGACACAACUGAAUCGCAUGAAGUUGAAGAAGACACACUUACACGAGCAAGCAACGAAAAGCACACAAGAUACUGCACGGCCGCCUCAACAGCCAGAACUCAGAGACGAUCCUUGCAGUGCUGCUUGAGGCUGAUAUCCCCGCACACCUGCUCGAACGCCUCCGGGACGAAGAAGACGGACCUGCUCACGAUAGAUUCCUUCACGAACCCGCAGACGCACCUCUCCCCGGACGCCACGCUGCCCCUGACGGUCCCGCAGCAAUCUCUAGGGAACAGCUCGCGCAGGUCGUCGCCGCCCCGUGCAUCGGAGCUAGGAGAUCCCCGAUGCAGAAGCUCAGCUCCGCCAGCGUAGGAUCGCGGGACGGGUCGCAGCCGCCGCCGGAUCAGCUGGGACGACGGCCAGCAGCAGCGCCGGGAGGGAGAGGACGACGGCUACCGCCGGAUCCGACAAGGCCAGAAGCUGCCGCCAUGAGUGCCAGCCGGCCGAUCUCGCUUGAUCUCGCUGCUGGACUGGGGGCGAGUGUGGGUGAUCCAGCCGGUCGCUAGCCUCGUGCCCAUUGAAUUUAUAGACACAUACGGAUCUGUCCUGCACUGUAUGUAGUACAUACCUACAGCCUGUUGAUAAUAUUUUUGCGCUUGUUCAAUUCGAUGCGCGCCUUCCAUUGAUCGAAUCGGAUUCGGAUCCUCCAGCAUCCCAUCUCAUGUGCUGUGCCUGCCUGGCGUGCGCUGAACAAAGGAACAGGAACAGUGGCUUGCAUGUUGCAUAUUAGUAAGAGCGCCAGGCCGGAUUGCGCUGACCAAAAGCCAUCAUCGCCUCCGAUAAUUAUUUGUCAGUUCAGGUGUUUUAAACUGGACGGGUGUGAUCCGGAUAAUCUUCAGUAAUCCAGUAGAAUCAACUGAACCAUCUCCUCUUUGAAACGAACCAGGAAGAAGAACUACCAAUUAUAUUAAAAACAAGAUGAAACCCUAGACAAAACAACAAAUGGAAAAAAACAACGCAAACACCGGUAGGUUGGAUUUGGGCAUCAACACAUGCCGGACCACGCCAUCACACUUAACUCAACUCAACGACACAUCGGUCGGCAGGAUUGGGACAUCAACACAUGCCGAGCAUAACUCCUGCCGCUGUGCGGCCUCCUAACGCUCCACCCCGUCGGAUUAGGAUAUCGACACAAGCCUCAGCUAAACUCCACCCGAUCGGAUUGGGUCAUCGACAUGAGCCUCAGCUAAACUCCGCCCGGUCGGAUUGGAUCAUCGACAUGAACCUCAGCUAAACUCCACCCGGUCGGAUUGGGUCAUCGACACGAGCCUCCAUAAUCUCUACCUGGUCAGAUUAGGACGUCGACACCAGCCACCACAUAACCAAGAUCAUCGACUGGAUCCUCCUCUUUUUGAUCUUUUUUCUUUUUCUUUUGAAGAAAGCAGAAAGAGAGGAAAAGAAAGAAAAAGCCCCCUCGGUAACCUUACCGUCGAAGCAAACCUUUCUACUAGAAUUGCCUGACAUCACGGUCACGACGCUGAAGACGUCGUCAAUACUAGCCCAAGCUCGGUUGGGUUUUCACCCACCUCAUCCGGCAGGAAAGGCCGGCGUCCAUGCCGACCUCACCAAACAGGAGCCAAGGUCCGCACGAGAGAUGCCCGACGUCGCUUUCAGGAAGGAUACGAUGCCAAUGGAGCCAUCGACGCCGUCCCAAGGAGGGUUAGGUUUUCACCCGCAUCGUCACAACAGUGCAAGAGACCGGCGCCUCUAGACCCACCACCAUGGUGAGCGCCUCUGCACGGCCGCAGCCAAUGAUACCACCAUGAUGGCGCUAGCAUGCGUCCGAGCAAGCCGUAGUCGGCCACACCACCCUGGUGUCGCCGACACACCACCACACCGGCCAAGCAGAUCGGAUCCGGGGCGGUCUGGUCGUUGGUGAUGGUGACCAAAGUGAGCAUCCCCACUGCCACCGGACAUAGCCGCUACCAUCUCCUGAUAGAGUUUUGACGAUUAGAUAAUGGAGGCUGAUGAUUAACGUAGAGUUGUUGUUGUGAUGUGGUACACAACCUCCAGGAAACAUCUCCACAAUUCUUUAGCAAAUACUGUAUGUUCAUAACCAUCAUUCGUAUCACAAGAGAAUUUUAACAAAAGUCUGCUCUGUAUCUUGUCCGUAUACCAACCGGCGAUGGCAACUGGGCUGAAGAGAACAAAUUUUCUUACGGUGAAGAUUUGACAAGCAGGAACUGGCCGACCUUGACAUGUUUGGUUUCGCCCCGUAUCAUGCAUGCGUGCAUGCAUUUUCUUACGCGAGACAGAGGCUCGAGAGCAUAGCUCUGCUCCAGCAGCUUCGUGUUUUUCAAUUUCUCAUCGGAGUCCCAUCACCUACCGACCCAUGCACGUUUUGCAGCUGCAGAGGUCUCCAUUUACCUUUCAUUAUUUCCAAUAAUUAUUGGAACAACUCAAUAAUUCACCCUAACUCUGAUUAUUGGGAGACUACAAAGUGAUAUUAGGAUAUCGGAAAACAUUUAUUGCGAGACUGAUGCUCUAACUGGGCCACCUAUUUCACCGCCGGGCUAAGUACGAAGCUGCAUUCGCGAAGGCCCAGACCACAAAAUCCAACAGCCCACGCAUAAACCGCAAGUUCCAUCCACUAUUCUGCGACGGCCCAUCCAACUCGGCCUCACACAACACAACCCACCCAUGAGCUCUCCACCUGCUCUCGUCUCUUCGCCGGCGGUGAGGCAGCUGCCGCCGUGGCGCCCUUUCCGCCGCCGUCUCGUCCCCAGACUUGCGUGCGCUUCCAGGACCUCCUGCGAGCUAGCACGUGGCGCCAGCGUGCGCUACCGCCAGCAGCCGCAGCCGCGCCUCGUGGCGGCGCAGUCGCAUCAUCCUCCCGCGCUUGCCGCCGUUGGCUCCGUCCGGAGGGACGCGGAGACGGGGCUCGCCCUACUCCUCCUCGUUCUCGCUGCGGUAUGACGCCUCUCCUUGUACCUGUAGCCUUUGGAUUUUGCUUUCGUUUUUUUGGUGCUGGGGAGUGGGGAGCGGUUGGUCCAGCAGUAAGCAGGCUGUUUGGUGCGAGCUCUUGGUUGGUUGAUAAAGAAACGAUUCUGUUUGUGAUACGUAGAUGUUAGGAAUAAAUUAUAUCAGUAAAUUUCAAGAUUGGCAAUAUCAAAGAGCAGGACAGGGUAAACGGCUACCGAUUUGUAACUGCUACGUGCACCUCAAGAGUCAAACUGUAUCUUUUGCCAGGAUAGAAAGAUAUGCGUGCAAGUUUACAGGAAUCAGUUCACUUCUUGCGGUAUGAACGGGGAAAAAUUCACGCCCCGGAAAUGGGCAACAAAUUUUAGGUUGGAGCUACAAAUUUUAAUCUCACUGUUGUUAUGAAUGGACGGUUCAAUUUUUGGGUGGUUUGUUCUAGUCACAAAUAGUCAUUAGUAACUGUAAAAGAAAGAGAAAUCAUCAUUUAAGUGAUUAGAGGAUAGCAAAAUGCAUGAUAGUGCUUGGUUAAAAUCAACUGUAGCUGCCGCAGCUGCCUGGACAGAACUUGAACCCAAUUUGAGUUGGGCAUUGUAAUUUCAUAUAAAUUCUGCAUUCAUCAUUAUCUACAAUAAAAUUUCAUCCUAAUCCUUGUGCAACCUGGAAUUUAGUCUACUCUGCUGACCCUAAUUUCAGGUGAUGAGCUGCUUUCUGUCACUGACUAUCUUAUCGUUUUCAGCAUGCAGAGUGAGUGAAUUAUCUAAAUAAUUAUAACUAUUUUUAUAAACAACGAGUAUGUGAAACAGAUUGCUUUUUCUUUUUUGAAUCAGGCUCUGCAUAAGUUGGAAACGGCAGCAAAUAAAUUGGCAAAACUAGUUGCAGAAGAGGCACCUGGAACUCUAUCUUUACUAAAGCUGUCCUUCUUGGAGGUCAAUGAUUUAACUAGCCAGCUAAAGAACCUUAGGUAAUACAUUUGAUAAGCUCUCCAAAGUUUAGCUGCGGAAUGGUGUUUAUAUUGUUUCUCCUUUUGCUUCUAUGCAGGAAGAGUCUCACAAUAAGUAGAUUUGGGAAGCAGGCUAGUACUAAAGCAAGUUCUCGGACUUGAUGGCCUAAACAGGGAAAUACAUGAAUUAAUCUGCAAGUGAAAUGUCAGUCCCAAAUCCUGAGUUUAUUCUUCCUCCUUAAAUUCUUGAUGAACUUAUACAUGCUUUCUCGCUGUAGUCCUGCACAUUUGCAUGAACAUGAAACAUCAUAAGCCUAUUGCAGUACCAAGUAGCUUCUGUUUGGGAAUUAUGCUGUGACGCAAGUAACAAAUUGUGCCCUGAGCCCAAAACUUUCCGCAAAGGAUUGACUUUGUUGACUAGGAGAUGUUUUGUUCCAUGUUUGUAAGAUGUACGUAAUAUGUAAUAAACAUGCCUUUACAACUUUGAUGACAAUUUCUUGAGGCCUUCUUCAAAGCUCUUCAUCUUUGGUGGGGUCGAUAGGUUGGCUAAUAAGGUAACCCUUGCUGUUGAGACCAGAUCUUUGCACUCUGAUGUGGAAGGAUCUAUCCUCCAUAUCUGGACCUCCCAAACCUUCAAGAAUGCAGAAAAUUUUAGAUUGAACGUUUGAGCUUUACUAAGGCCCCGUUUUCUUCCACUGACUUAUUUUUAGCACCCGUCACAUCAAAUGUUUAGAUACUAAUUAGGAGUAUUAAACGUAGACGAUUUAGUUAUCCCAUUCCAAAAGACUAACAUUUACGGCGAGACGAAGCUAUCAAACCAAUUUUGGCCUUUUUGGAACAUUAUGCAUUGACACUAAAUAUAGAUUAUGGUGCUGGAAUCAAGAAAGUAUUCUUGCCAAUAGAUGUGGAGCUUUCCCACCACUAGCUGGAUGCCGAAUUACUCUUUGGUGAGAAGAACCCAAUGGUCCCCUGUACAAUAUGUCCCUGCUAAUUACCGGGAAGAAAAAGGUAGUAAAGGAUUGAAAGCACCAGGUUCUAGUGUGGACUAUAUAUUUCAGCAUCGAACUGGAGAAACUGUUACAAUAUUGUUCAAAACAAGGAAGACGACUAUUCCUCUCAUCAAUACUUCCAACACUUAUGCUGCACGAUAUAGAUGANNNNNNNNNNNNNNNNNNNNNNNNNNNNNNNNNNNNNNNNNNNNNNNNNNNNNNNNNNNNNNNNNNNNNNNNNNNNNNNNNNNNNNNNNNNNNNNNNNNNNNNNNNNNNNNNNNNNNNNNNNNNNNNNNNNNNNNNNNNNNNNNNNNNNNNNNNNNNNNNNNNNNNNNNNNNNNNNNNNNNNNNNNNNNNNNNNNNNNNNNNNNNNNNNNNNNNNNNNNNNNNNNNNNNNNNNNNNNNNNNNNNNNNNNNNNNNNNNNNNNNNNNNNNNNNNNNNNNNNNNNNNNNNNNNNNNNNNNNNNNNNNNNNNNNNNNNNNNNNNNNNNNNNNNNNNNNNNNNNNNNNNNNNNNNNNNNNNNNNNNNNNNNNNNNNNNNNNNNNNNNNNNNNNNNNNNNNNNNNNNNNNNNNNNNNNNNNNNNNNNNNNNNNNNNNNNNNNNNNNNNNNNNNNNNNNNNNNNNNNNNNNNNNNNNNNNNNNNNNNNNNNNNNNNNNNNNNNNNNNNNNNNNNNNNNNNNNNNNNNNNNNNNNNNNNNNNNNNNNNNNNNNNNNNNNNNNNNNNNNNNNNNNNNNNNNNNNNNNNNNNNNNNNNNNNNNNNNNNNNNNNNNNNNNNNNNNNNNNNNNNNNNNNNNNNNNNNNNNNNNNNNNNNNNNNNNNNNNNNNNNNNNNNNNNNNNNNNNNNNNNNNNNNNNNNNNNNNNNNNNNNNNNNNNNNNNNNNNNNNNNNNNNNNNNNNNNNNNNNNNNNNNNNNNNNNNNNNNNNNNNNNNNNNNNNNNNNNNNNNNNNNNNNNNNNNNNNNNNNNNNNNNNNNNNNNNNNNNNNNNNNNNNNNNNNNNNNNNNNNNNNNNNNNNNNNNNNNNNNNNNNNNNNNNNNNNNNNNNNNNNNNNNNNNNNNNNNNNNNNNNNNNNNNNNNNNNNNNNNNNNNNNNNNNNNNNNNNNNNNNNNNNNNNNNNNNNNNNNNNNNNNNNNNNNNNNNNNNNNNNNNNNNNNNNNNNNNNNNNNNNNNNNNNNNNNNNNNNNNNNNNNNNNNNNNNNNNNNNNNNNNNNNNNNNNNNNNNNNNNNNNNNNNNNNNNNNNNNNNNNNNNNNNNNNNNNNNNNNNNNNNNNNNNNNNNNNNNNNNNNNNNNNNNNNNNNNNNNNNNNNNNNNNNNNNNNNNNNNNNNNNNNNNNNNNNNNNNNNNNNNNNNNNNNNNNNNNNNNNNNNNNNNNNNNNNNNNNNNNNNNNNNNNNNNNNNNNNNNNNNNNNNNNNNNNNNNNNNNNNNNNNNNNNNNNNNNNNNNNNNNNNNNNNNNNNNNNNNNNNNNNNNNNNNNNNNNNNNNNNNNNNNNNNNNNNNNNNNNNNNNNNNNNNNNNNNNNNNNNNNNNNNNNNNNNNNNNNNNNNNNNNNNNNNNNNNNNNNNNNNNNNNNNNNNNNNNNNNNNNNNNNNNNNNNNNNNNNNNNNNNNNNNNNNNNNNNNNNNNNNNNNNNNNNNNNNNNNNNNNNNNNNNNNNNNNNNNNNNNNNNNNNNNNNNNNNNNNNNNNNNNNNNNNNNNNNNNNNNNNNNNNNNNNNNNNNNNNNNNNNNNNNNNNNNNNNNNNNNNNNNNNNNNNNNNNNNNNNNNNNNNNNNNNNNNNNNNNNNNNNNNNNNNNNNNNNNNNNNNNNNNNNNNNNNNNNNNNNNNNNNNNNNNNNNNNNNNNNNNNNNNNNNNNNNNNNNNNNNNNNNNNNNNNNNNNNNNNNNNNNNNNNNNNNNNNNNNNNNNNNNNNNNNNNNNNNNNNNNNNNNNNNNNNNNNNNNNNNNNNNNNNNNNNNNNNNNNNNNNNNNNNNNNNNNNNNNNNNNNNNNNNNNNNNNNNNNNNNNNNNNNNNNNNNNNNNNNNNNNNNNNNNNNNNNNNNNNNNNNNNNNNNNNNNNNNNNNNNNNNNNNNNNNNNNNNNNNNNNNNNNNNNNNNNNNNNNNNNNNNNNNNNNNNNNNNNNNNNNNNNNNNNNNNNNNNNNNNNNNNNNNNNNNNNNNNNNNNNNNNNNNNNNNNNNNNNNNNNNNNNNNNNNNNNNNNNNNNNNNNNNNNNNNNNNNNNNNNNNNNNNNNNNNNNNNNNNNNNNNNNNNNNNNNNNNNNNNNNNNNNNNNNNNNNNNNNNNNNNNNNNNNNNNNNNNNNNNNNNNNNNNNNNNNNNNNNNNNNNNNNNNNNNNNNNNNNNNNNNNNNNNNNNNNNNNNNNNNNNNNNNNNNNNNNNNNNNNNNNNNNNNNNNNNNNNNNNNNNNNNNNNNNNNNNNNNNNNNNNNNNNNNNNNNNNNNNNNNNNNNNNNNNNNNNNNNNNNNNNNNNNNNNNNNNNNNNNNNNNNNNNNNNNNNNNNNNNNNNNNNNNNNNNNNNNNNNNNNNNNNNNNNNNNNNNNNNNNNNNNNNNNNNNNNNNNNNNNNNNNNNNNNNNNNNNNNNNNNNNNNNNNNNNNNNNNNNNNNNNNNNNNNNNNNNNNNNNNNNNNNNNNNNNNNNNNNNNNNNNNNNNNNNNNNNNNNNNNNNNNNNNNNNNNNNNNNNNNNNNNNNNNNNNNNNNNNNNNNNNNNNNNNNNNNNNNNNNNNNNNNNNNNNNNNNNNNNNNNNNNNNNNNNNNNNNNNNNNNNNNNNNNNNNNNNNNNNNNNNNNNNNNNNNNNNNNNNNNNNNNNNNNNNNNNNNNNNNNNNNNNNNNNNNNNNNNNNNNNNNNNNNNNNNNNNNNNNNNNNNNNNNNNNNNNNNNNNNNNNNNNNNNNNNNNNNNNNNNNNNNNNNNNNNNNNNNNNNNNNNNNNNNNNNNNNNNNNNNNNNNNNNNNNNNNNNNNNNNNNNNNNNNNNNNNNNNNNNNNNNNNNNNNNNNNNNNNNNNNNNNNNNNNNNNNNNNNNNNNNNNNNNNNNNNNNNNNNNNNNNNNNNNNNNNNNNNNNNNNNNNNNNNNNNNNNNNNNNNNNNNNNNNNNNNNNNNNNNNNNNNNNNNNNNNNNNNNNNNNNNNNNNNNNNNNNNNNNNNNNNNNNNNNNNNNNNNNNNNNNNNNNNNNNNNNNNNNNNNNNNNNNNNNNNNNNNNNNNNNNNNNNNNNNNNNNNNNNNNNNNNNNNNNNNNNNNNNNNNNNNNNNNNNNNNNNNNNNNNNNNNNNNNNNNNNNNNNNNNNNNNNNNNNNNNNNNNNNNNNNNNNNNNNNNNNNNNNNNNNNNNNNNNNNNNNNNNNNNNNNNNNNNNNNNNNNNNNNNNNNNNNNNNNNNNNNNNNNNNNNNNNNNNNNNNNNNNNNNNNNNNNNNNNNNNNNNNNNNNNNNNNNNNNNNNNNNNNNNNNNNNNNNNNNNNNNNNNNNNNNNNNNNNNNNNNNNNNNNNNNNNNNNNNNNNNNNNNNNNNNNNNNNNNNNNNNNNNNNNNNNNNNNNNNNNNNNNNNNNNNNNNNNNNNNNNNNNNNNNNNNNNNNNNNNNNNNNNNNNNNNNNNNNNNNNNNNNNNNNNNNNNNNNNNNNNNNNNNNNNNNNNNNNNNNNNNNNNNNNNNNNNNNNNNNNNNNNNNNNNNNNNNNNNNNNNNNNNNNNNNNNNNNNAAUGAUGGAUUAAUUAGGCGUAAUUAGGCUUAAUAGAUUCGUCUCGCCAUUUAGAUUCGUCUUAUGUAAUGGGUUUUGUAAAUAGUCUACGUUUAAUACUCCUAAUUAGUCUCUAAACAUUCGAUGUGACACGUGCUAAAAAUAAGUCAGUGGAAGAAAACGCCCCCUAAGCCAGAAGUUGCACAAUAAUAGAUACCCAUACUCGAAAAGGGGGGGAAAAGAUAGUUGUACAACACUGGCAAGCUAUGUACAUAUUGGUUGUUGGUAGUGCCGCACACAUGACACAUGGCAGAGAUAGCUAAAACCUAGGCAUGGUCCCACAAAAACGACGACUGACAUACAUGUCGUUUCUGGUUAUUAUGUUUUUUCGGUAACAAUUUCUGCUAAUUAUUUUUUAAACAAUCUCUGCUAAUUAUCUUUGGUGGACAGUGCAAUUGAAGGGAUGGGAUCAUGGGAUUCUAGUUGUAGGAGCCCCAUACGGCACCUUCCCCCCUUGGACGAUGCUGCAAGUCAGAGGAGAUGGCGGCUAUGCAGAAAAGGCCCAACUUGUGCAGCCGGGGCGAACAUUUCCAACACUCCAGUCCAGAGUCCAUGCAGACCAAGCGGGUCGUGGUCGUGCUGCUGUAUAUUGUUUGCAAAAAACUGACAUGGAAAAGCCUGGUCUCCGUUUCAACUUUUGCCGCUAUAGUGGCCAAGCAAAUGUGAAAAUCUGGUAACUGAAACUACAGCUCCGCUUCUCAAACGAUUUGAUUUGUCGCUAAAGUACGGCCUAUUGAUCUUACCAGAAGGAUGUGUGUAAAUUGCUGCGGAGCAGACAAUUUUACAGAAAAUUUCAAAAAGGAGCAGUCGAAUUCUUGACAUGAAUCUCUAUGAUCUUCUGAAAAAAAUUGAACACGAGAUGGACUGAGCGGGUACCUGGAUUUUGCGGCCGAGCUGGAUGGGGGUGGCCGUGGCCUGGACGAGGUCGCCGAGCCCCGCGGGCCCGACGUGGUUGAUGGAGAGCUGCACGCCGGCGAGUCUCCGGUAGCCCGAGGCGACGUAGCAGCCGAUGCUCGCCGUGACCUCCGCCAUGAGCGCCGACACGCCGCCGUUGAGCCAGUCGAAGGGCUGCGGGCGGGCGCGCACCGCACCCGGUCGGUCGGCUCACCUCAUCAGUAAUCACGAUCGGGGGAAAAAAAAUCUAUCCAAGCGGCGGCGGCGGGCGGGCGUACCUGGCAGCAGGUCUCGGUGACGGGGAGGCGGCCGGCGACCUCCCGCGCGGUGACGCGGGUGAACUCGAAGCCCAGCGCCUGCAGCGCCCGGUCCACCUGGAACGGCUUGGUGGCGUCGCCCGCUGCCGGCGGCGGAGGAGGAUCGCUCGCGCCGGCGCCGCCACCCAUCACUCUCGGGUAUCGGCUUCAGGCCGGCCCUUUCUUUGGUCCGAGUGUGUGAAGGAAUAAUGAUUCUGGCGAGGCGGCAGCCGGCGGCAGAGGCGGGCGGGCAGGAGACAGGGUUGGGUCUUAGGGUCUUAGGGUUGGGAGGUUGGAGAAUUUUUUAUAUUUUUUAUUUUAGUAUUUUGCAAAAAUAUAUGACUAAAAAAAUUACAAAUAUCUAUACCUAUACCGUCGUUUGAAAUGACGGAAGGCGUACAGUAGCAAGCUACCGCCAGUUGAAUCGGCGGUAACUUUCCUCCUCUACGCAGUCAUAACUAAUUCAUAUGAACUUGGAUGGAGAUAAAUUUUAUAUGAAAAUUGUAGAUCUCGACUUUGUAGUUCAAACUGUUUUCAUUUGAUGUCAUCUUGGUGCUCAAAUAAUCGACACAAAUUUUAGAUCUAAAAUUUAAUUUUAGAUUGAAAAUUAUGUCGAUUAUUUGAGCACAAAGAUGGUACCAAAUGAAAAGUACACAGACGACACAGUACAUGGUCUUGUUUUAAAUUUUGCUAUUCAUGUGUCGAUAAAUUUUCUUCAUCAAAUUUUUUUAUGUUGCAAAUGUUAUCACUUGAUGUUGCAAACAUUAUUCUUCGAUGUUUCAAAAUAUUUCAUUAUUUUAGGGGAGGAAAUGUGGCAGGUUCUUGUGAUGUUACCGGUGCUAUUUACGAUGUUUCAAUGUAUUAUUCUCGCACGUUGAAUAGUACUUCAUGUUUCAAUCAUAUGCAAAAUGGAUAAUAAUAUCUGCAAUAUCAAUGAACAACAUGUGCAAUAUCAUAAAAUUUGACAAAAUUUACCCUAAAAAUCCGUCGGCAGAUAAAUAGACAUUUUUUUUUGCGAGGGCACGGUAGUACAUGGUCCUUUUUGUUUAGCAACAGCACAGAACCCACUGCACGGUGCAAGGUUACAGCCGAAACGCAACACCUUCAAUAACCGUAGACUUCCCAUAGAAAGGGCGGAGCCUGCUGGCGGUGAGAGUAAUUCACAUGAUGCUUCUCUAGAGCUUGGCGUAUUUCUUGAUGCUCGCUUCAUGGCUGGUCAUCUCCUCUGGCCUUGAUGGGUUGGCUGUUAGCAGGGUAACUCUUGCUGUCGACACCAGGUCCUUGCACUCUCCUGUGGAAGGAUCUGUCCGCCAUAUCUGGACCUCCCAGACCUGCCACGACGACGGGACAUUUCAGCUGUCAGCGGUUAGUUGCAUGCGCCUGACGCUCGCAGAUAAUUACAAUUAGCACGCCAAACUAAGGAUCAGUACACUUCUGUUCGCUUCAGCUUAUAAGCCGGUUGAAAAGUUGAAACGACUGAUUUGUUAUGAGAGAAAAAUACUGUUUGGUGGUUGAUAGGCCGGCUGAAUCGGCUGAAUAAGCUGGAGCGAACAGACCGUACGUAUAUAAUUAACUGGUUCGUGUCAACGCAUUACGCAAGGGUUCUUUCCGAUUGGGAAUUCAUUCCAAAAGGAUUGCUUCAACUCAAAUCAUAUACACGAGGAAACUGAACGCUAGCUAGCUAGAGACAGUUCGGGAGAGAUCGUAUGAAGAACAGGGGAGGGGGACAACGGACCGACCUGGAUGCUGCGGCCGAGCCGGACGGGGGUGGCCUGCGCGUGGACGAGGUCGCCGAGGCGGGCGGGCCGGAGGUGGUUGACGGACAGCUGCACACCGGCGACGCGCUGGUACCCGGACGCCAUGUACGCGCCGACGCUCGCCGCGGACUCCGCCACCAGCGCCGACACGCCACCGUUCAGCACCCCGAACGGCUGGCAGCACGUGCCGGUGACGGGGAGCCGUCCGGCGACCUCGCCCGCGCUGAUGCGGGUGAACUCGAACCCCAGCGCGUGCAGGGCCUUGUCCGCCACUACGGCGCCCUCCUCGCCCGCUGGCGGCGUCGGCGGCGGUGGGCGCUUGUCGUCGGCGCCCAUGGUCAUCGCUGGCUGCCCAAACUCUUCGACAGUCGAGGAUGGCGUGGUGGAGGACAGGAGGAGCAAUCGACCAUGGGUGAGCGUGAGGCGACUGGUGGAUAAUAAAGCGCCAACCAAAGCGGACCAGCACGUACGUACGCUGACCAUGGCUGUGUCGAUGUCGAUGGCCGUGGGCUUGGGUGGGCUGUACUUUUGCAAACUAUCUGGGGAUGUGUUGGGCUGGGCUUUGAUUGAAUGGACCACGACGCGCGGAAAUAUUUUUCCCAUUUGUCGAGCGAGAAACAAGGAAAGAAUCUAGUAUGUUUUAAGAAUUUCACCGUCGGAUCCUACUCAAACUUCUGUUUUCUCUUUUAUGAUAACCUCAACUAAGAACAUCUGUAUGAUGGAGGUUCACGACGCCAGUGUGGCCCAUCAUCCUGCGCACAUGUGGAGCUGUUGCUUCCUCUUUUGGUCCCUCCUCUCUCUAGCAUUGUUCCGGCUUUUCUCAAUUCCAAAGGACAAUGCAGGUACCUAAAUCACGAAAGGGUUUUCUUUGUCUUAAUUAGUUGAAGCAAAGUGAAGCGUCGAUGAAAAGAUAGAUGCAAGCUAAGGAGCUGCGGCCUAACUAUUGCUAAGGAAAAGUCUAAAGCGCGCCGACCGCCGCGCGCGAGUGCGCGACCUUCGUGGCCUGCUGCGGCCUAGCGAGAGGAUAGUGGGCUGCUGCGGCCCACACACUUUUUUCUUUUAAUUAUACCUUACAAUAACUUUGUUAUGGAGUGUUUAUUUUCAAUUCCGUUUGCACCAUUAUUUUUCUUAUGACAAUAUCUUCAAAACAAGAUGUAUAAUACAUAUGUUUUGGAAUAUAUUUUUAUAAGCUGACAACUUAUAUUGAAUGUGCAAUAGCUUAUAUUUGUUUGUAGCAACUUAUAUAUAAACACCUCAACAAAUGAUGUAGAUAAAGUGCUACAAACUUAUUAUCAUGUCCUUUUGCCUGGCUCUACAUAAGUUGAUACCAGCUAUAUUACAUCAUAUUAUCUUCGUCCAAGUUGUUCCACAAUCUUCCAACAAAUUGAUACAUUUGUCUCUAUAUAAAUUUUCUAAAUGAUAAAUAGAGAUACCACAUAAGUUGCUACAUAGUCAAUACGUAAGUUUGAUAUAUCACCUCUACAUAAUCCAUUACACUGUAUCAAAUUUUCUAUUGAUCUUUACAUAAGUUUGAUAGAUAAGUUGUUACGCAGUUUGUCUAUAAGUUACGACUUACAAUCAAUAUAACUUGACAGUCGCAUAAACAGCAUUAAAACAUAUCAAAUAUGGAUCUUGUUUUGUAGAUCUCAUUGCUAGGAACACAAUGGUGCAAACAGAUUUAAAAACGGACACUCGAUGUGAGAGUAAUGAUUAUUUAAAUGAAAUAUAAACAGUUUUUGCUGAUGACAUCAUCACCAAAAAUGACGUCCUCCUACCUAACCUGCACGCUGCACCCCAUUGAAUUGAUAAUGUCACAUGUUAGCAAAUAAUAGGCAAGCAAACUUGUAGUAAACAACUCUGUUGCACGCUCACCCGUACACCGGUCAGAAGAAAUGUGCAAGUGUUGGAUAGGAGGUCGCGUGCUAACAGUUGGCGCGACCGGUCGCACGUUAACCUCGUCCGCUAGUGAAGUUGCACCGAAGAAGUUGCACCAAAUGAGAGCACGUCAAUGAUGACCAGCAAACUGAGUGUAGGUUAGAUUUCUUAUGUUGAAAUCCAACGACACAGGUUUUGAGUCCUGGACUCAGUAUCCGAUGCUCGUAUUUUUUUCUUUUUAGUUUUUGGAUUUUUUCAAGAAUCAACAAUGUUGUAUUUUGUGUGUUAGGAGACAUUGAUGUGUCCAUCGACAAGAAAGUAUCUAUGGUGACCUCAUCAAUAUUAAGAUCCGCUGACAACCCAAUCUCUCAUAGGUGCUUAUAGAGUAGUAGGAUGUGGGUACGUCGGUGUAUGUGUUUCGAAAAUAGGAGCACGAUGAUGAUUAAAAGGUAAAGCUUGUGACCACCACAUGUGGCACCGUCUAAUAAUCAGUAGAUCCCAUGUGCUACAUCACUGUACAUGUCGUGCAUAUGACUUAUUUUUUGUCAGAAAAAAGAUAUGCAUGUGGAGCAUGUAUAUCAUUAUCAAAUGUUAACCCAGCAAUCACAGGCGAGAAGAAGUAAUCAUUAACCAGAAAAUUAAUGAACUUUGUGGCAGAGGUUCCCCAUAAUGAUGCACUUUAAAUUUCGCAUUAUGCUGUUCCAGGAAUAAACCAUCAUCGUAUAGUAUAUAUAGUUUGCAUCUAUCAUUCGGCAAACAAUGCAAGUUAGAUUGUGUUGCCACUUCUUUCUCAGCUCCAUCAGGGGAAUAUAUAAUCAUUGGAAGUCUGUUGGUCUCCCAUAUGCGUAUGUUCUUGACAGAUAGGGAGGACGACUACAUGACCUGAUUGCGAGGGCGCGGCCAGGCAGCGGCGGCGGCGGCGACGACGACAUGGAACGAAUUGAAGGGCGUCCGAGUUCAUUCCACCGCCGCAUGCUGGGCGGCGGCGAUGACGACGCGGCGCCGUGGUCGCGCUAGUAGUAGGCGGCAGGUCACCCACGACGCCGUACGUGCCGUGCGACGGUGCGAGUUGUCCAGUUGCUGUGCCCCGUCUGGUUAGGUUGCUUGUUUUGGUGUACCGACGCCCCGGCACAUGCUUUUGGCCGGCGGCAGCGGCAGCGGCAGUACGUGUUCCAUAUGCUACCUAACUUGAUCCGUCUAUUGGGAUUGGAACUCGAGCGGGUCACGUGAACGCAAAAGCUUUGCUUUCCCCUUCCGGCCGUGAUUGCCACAAAACAAUAAAGUUAGGAUAUGGCUAGAUAAAUGUUUCAAGUGGUCCAUAUAUGUUUGUAUACUAGUAAAUUUCUAUAAUUUUAUUUACGCUGCCCGAUGCAUGGAUUCAGUGAUCGAGUUGUCUCUAUUUUACUCCUCCUGUGCCUGUGCCCAGCUAUCAGGAUUCAAGAUAGCAUCAUAGUCAGAUGUUGUGUCGAGUAGUUGAUGGGCACUGCUGCCUGCUUGGUUUUCGGUUACCUAUAGCCUCACUCACGGCCUGACCAUGCCCAUCAUCACCAUUUCAUUUGGUCCAUUUCUUUACGUUGAGUAGAUGUGCGUUUGAGUAGCUGAGCCCCCGGAGCUCAUCAUCUCUGAUCUGACCAUGCAUGUGACCGUGUGAACGCGCGCAUAUAUACUCAGAUUGAAUCGAUGCAUGUCAAUGUUGGAAAAUUUAUUAAGCCCCGGCAAUAACCGGCCAUCACAUGGAAAGGUUUUCAGAGUCCAGCAUCUGCUUUGUUUAGUGGUUGCAUUUUGCAGUCUCCAAUGUUUUUCUUUGGCCGAUAAAAUUGAGUACCGACGUCCUCCCUAAUCAUCACUUAAAUGCCUCUCCUCUGGUCUCGUGCAUCAUUAAACAUCAUUUGAUUAUGUCUGAUACCGGACACGGAGAGAAACCGUUGGUCGUCACCGCCGGUGGCCGGCGCCCCGGGCGGUUUUCUAGGCCGGCGGCCUUGCUUUAUUUGCAGACCAUUGCAUAUGUACAAGAGAGAGAAUCCAUUGCAUGCAUACAACACAAGCUGCCAAAUGGUCAAAAGCCAUUGGCUCGUCAGUCUAGCAGAAGCACUGUGCAGUAGUGGCGGAGCGCGUCGGUCAGAGGCUCAGGGCUCUGUCCGGGCGGCUGUAUACUGCGGGAAACAUGCGUGCAUGCAUCACGCGCGUGACAAGAGCGAGGCUGGGGCCGACGCGGCUUGACGCUUGAGUGCUUGACGGCUUGUGGUCUGGGCGGCGCCGGAGCGGGCUCCGCCGGGCCCCCUUGCCCAUCACCGUCUCCGGCUCCGGCUCCUCCGUGCAUGUGCGCCUGCAUGCGACCUCAUGAUUCUGUCCUUUUAACCCAUGGACCCAGAUCGAGCCGGUGCACGUGCCGCCAUGCGCGCCGUGUCCCCACACCCCCACGAUUCUGUUCGCACUUGCAUAGCUGCAUUGCAUCUGCAUCGAGAAGAACACCGAGAUCCUUGGGUUUACAGGAACAAUAUCAAAUCGUCAACUUUCAUAUUUAACUACUACGUAAUCUCGCAACGAUACUCUAAUGUGACGGGAAUGAUUACUUAACGUUAUAGAAACAAAACAAUAGAGGACUGCUGGAGAUGAGACGACUCUCUCCUCCCAUUAUCAGGGUGCAUGUGUGCCCAGCCCAGCCCGGAGCGCCGUCGGAUCACCGGAGCUCCGGCGAUCCGACGGCGGCUUUUCAUCCUGUUCGGCCGGGCCGGGGCGCCACUUACGCGCCAAGAGAGCUUUUCAAUGCGUGCCAAAUAAAUUUCUGUUUCUUGGGUCGACAUCAACGUGCACCCCCACCAAUCUUGUCUUCCGGAUCUUGCCUCCCAGUCCCACCUCCCUCUCACUCCUCUUCGUCCUCCCUUUGCUUCUUCCUCCCUCUCCUCUUCGCCGUGGAUCACGGAUGGGUAUAUAUAUGGGCUCAAAGGACCCGGCCGAGUAGCUGUUGUUUACCACAGCACAGUACUCCUUCUCUGAUCCCAGCAUACACACACAAAAGACACCGAUUGAUUCCAGCAACCAGCAUAGUCCUUCAUCUGUACGACACAAACAUCGAACACCAGUAGCAGCGGAUUCCAUUGCAUUUGCAUCAUGGGUUCUUGGGUGCGCACCAUCACGACGCCCUUCAGGAAGAUGCUCAACCCGCAGCGUGACGGCAAGAAGACGCCGCGCCACCACCACCACCACCACCACCAACAACAAUCUCCUUCUUCAGGUAAAUACACGAUUGUUUUGGUUUUCGCAUCUAUCCAUAAAUCUAUCUCUUAUGUAUGAUUUGAUAAAUGGAUGCUCAUGGCGUUUGCGCAUGAUUUGCAGCCAUGGAGCACAGCGGCGAGAUGGAGAGGUCGCAGCUCUACGGCGAGGUGAUGGCGUGCACCUACGAGGACGUGCAGGUCAUGUGGUCCAUGCUCGACAAGGCCAGGAUCUGCAGCGCCGCCGCCUCCUGACCACUAUACACACACAUCCUCUUCAUCCAUCCGAUCCGUCCGUCCAUGGCGAGAACGAGAUCGAUCCACCAGUAUAUACAAACACAGCCAUAGCCAUUAUUCAUUGCAAAAGCAAAGCUCUUGGCGACGACGACAGUACCUUCAGUCUGCCGAGGCGGCAUGCAAGCAGUUCCAAUCCCAAGGCUUUUUUUUUCAGUUGGUUUCGUGUGGGGCGCGUGUACCAUGUUCAUGCGCAUGGUCGAGUCUGAAUCCCCGCUGCUGGCACACACAUGGAUCAUGGUGAAAGGCCGCCGGUGUGCUGUCUUGGAGAGAUUUAGUGACCCACAACAUUUUAGUUAGGUGUUGCUGCUUUUGAGGCCAUCAUGCUUUGUUUUCCUCUUUUUCUAUUUUUCGGUGUCAGAGAUGCAUGUAUUCAUCAUCCGAUGCAUGAGUUUAUAUAGAAAUUCCAGAGAUCUGAACUUUAUCUCUGUUUUGAACCUCAACUACGAAGUCCUUCACCUUCAUCUUAGGCCUAUUUUGGAAGGACGUGACUGAUUAGCCCAGGGUAGAAGUGCCCCUGAGGGUUUUUUUUUUUUGACUUUGCGGUUUUUUUUUUACUUUUCGAAUCCCUUCCACCAGAGAUUUGCUGACUCCUAUCCCGUUGCUGUUUGGAAGCUAUGAGUCUCUGACGCAGGGCAAGCACAGCGGGAGGGAUAUAGGGAUAAUAAUAGCAAGAGAUACCGAUGGUACGGAAGAUAUGUGCUUUGCUGAUGACAUAGUGAUAAAUCAACCAAACUUCAGUCCACACAAAUGGUAAAAAUAUCAUUUUACAUCCAGCUGAAGCAAAAUAUAAAAAUUUACAGAUUUCUCAGCAUGUUUAAUUUACGCUCAUAAUUUAACCAUUGAUGCAAUAAUACAAGUUUUUUUUAGUAAAAGAAGCUGUCAAAUACUCACAACCAUUCUCUUCAUGCUUCAUGGUUCUCCUCAACAGUCACAAAUUCUAUCAAAUAAACAAUAAAAUAAAAAUUGAGAUCAGUGUUGAGGAGAUGCAACCAGGUGCUGUUGGAGCUGUAGUUCCAUUCAUUCUUCAAAAGUUUUGUUUCGUUUCUUCCAAAUAAAAGUUUUCUCCCGCCAAAAGAAAAGAGAGUUUUCGCAAGGUAUACUUUCUCAGAUGUGCUUACAGUAUGCCACGAACUGACAAAAGAGAAAGCAGUACUCUCUCGCAGAGGAUAAAAGGAUGCAUACCAAUUGUCAUGAGCCAUCUAUGAUUUGAUACCGAAGAAAUACCUUUACGCGUGAAUCUAGCUGUAUUAACAUCAUAUGAGUCAAUAAGUGGACCUCUAAGUAAGAAAAAUUGUAAAUAUGGAACAUAUAUGCAUGCUAAUUAUUCAUGUUCAGAGCUAACAUUUGAUUCAAUAACUAAGAGAGAACUUGUUUGACAAUACAGUGAGAGUGAGUGUACAUAAAACCACAAGCCAACAGCACGAAGAUAGCUAUUAUAAUUACAAGCAAGUUUACAGCAGUGUACUCACAGCCUCUGCUUAUCUAGCAACAUUGUUACUAUGUCAGAUCUAGUAUACACUCCAGCUGCUUGAAAUUUUUUAUGUAAUCAGUAGAACAUCCAGUUCAGCUGGAGGUAUGUUCAAAUUACUUGAGCACCUGGAUGGCUGGAUGUACCUAUCUUCAAUCAGUUGAACAAUGUGCUCCGGAUGUACCUGUGUUCCAGGGAAUGAUUUAACCAGUAGGUGGCAAUAGGUUAAGAGGAAUAAUUUAAAGCACUUGCAUGUGAAAUGGAUGGAAUCUGCCUGCGGCACAGGUGAAAGAAUGGAGAUGUACUGAAAGUCUAAACUUCUGCUAAAACAAUUGCACAUUCAAACUGUUACUAAUUUAAUUUGCAGUAGUUUGUGGUCCUGAAUUCCUUUUGGAAUCAGUGGCACAUAUGGAAAAACGGGGUGUAAUGAAGGUCAUUCUGCUAAAAUAAUUUUGCGCAUUCAAACUAGUAAUACUUUGCAUCAGUUUAGAUAUAUUGAAAUGUGCUCUCGAACAGAGUAAGCUACAUGCAUGUGAAACAAAUAAGACCCUGCAAACUCAAAUCAUAGUGACACUCACAAGUUAAGAAAUAUCACAACAGAUGUGCAUUCCCAUCUGCGAAUUUCCUUUCCCUUCAUUACCAUUCCAUUAGAUUUCCAUAUCACCUCGUCAUCUCCGCUAGAGCCGUACGUGUACGUGGUGACGUUGCCCUUGGGCGCGAUGAUGGGGACACGCGUGGUGCAGACGGUGCCGACGACGUCGGGGAUUCCAGACACGGCCUCGAACCUAGCCGCAGCGGGGGGCCCGUCUGGCCAGAUGACCUCGGGUUUUAGCACUGUGGCAAGGGCGUGGCAUACCUGGAGCAGGUUGAGAUGCCAAGGCUGAAGUGGCGGGAGAUCUCACGGAGGGGCUCCCCUGUGGCGAGGUGCCAGAGGUAGGCCACCACGCGCCGGCGCACGGGGGCAUGUGAAAAGGCUCCGGCCGGGGAUUGGGUGGCCGACGGGAAGGAGGCGCCGGCGGUGGCGCGGGACUCAUUGCCGGAGCAGGACGACGGGGAGGCAGAGCGGCUGCAGCGCCUCAACCGAAUGCUCGCCGUCAGGGCCAAGGAGGAGCAGAGGCGGGCAACGCCGCUGGAGGCGAGGCUCAGCGAGGUCUCGAAGACGCCGCCGUGCUCGCCGCGGUGGAGCACGGAGUGCUCCUAGCGGCGCUGGUGGCCCCACUCCGGGCCGCGGAGGAGGAGCUCGCGGCGUGGGUGCCCGCCACGCGGUGGUACGGGAGGUGCUCGGGCGCGUCGAGGUGGAGGCGGCACGCGAGGCAGCGGCGGGGGCUGACGCCGCGGCGCAGCUCCAAGGGUCCGCCGCGGAGAAUCGAUCAUUCUCGGAGUGGAUUGGCGCCAAGGGUGCCGAGGCACAAUGCGUGGGGAGACUACACGGCGGCAGGGCAGAGCGGAGGACCAAGGUGAGCCAAGAACGCCGAUUGCUAAUAGAACUCGAUUCCGUCAAUGGUUAUAUAGAUAAGGUUCCAGUGGGGCCACGUUGUCAGUGUCACAUAUGGAUGGAAAAUCUAACGGAAUGGCAAUGAAGGGAAAGGAAAUUAGAAAUAGUGGCAGUGAGGGGAAGAGAAAACUUUCGAUGGCAUUGAGGGGAUCGUUAUAAUUUCCAAUGGCAUCAAGGUAAUUCACUCUUUUAUUUUACGGUCCUAAAUUUCGUCCCUGCCUACUCGUAUAGUCCCAUGAACACUCUUUUAUCUUAACAACAAAAUCACAUAUGUGGUAUGUCAGAGCCUUGCCUCUAUUCUGAAGAAAUUUUUUAUGGGACGACAGACUCCGAGUAUCUACACAACCAUUCUAUAGGGCAUCCAUGGAAACAAAGCGAAUAGAGCAUUAAAGGUGUACAAUUCAGUUGGAAUGAUAGAGAUUCUGUUUUCUGUUCACUAAUCUAAUGUAGUAUGACAGUUCUAGUGAAUAGAAAAACUAGAGGAUGGAGAUGAACAUCAAACUGCAGCACUGCUAAUAUUGUUGUUUACUUCAGAGUUCUGAUCGAACGGUUCGAAAGCUCAAAUAAAUAACUCACCAUUCAACAGUAUAAUUUUGUAUACAAUAUUCUACUCCCACUGAAAUAGUGUAGUAUCUUUCUUAAAAUUUACAGUACGAAUAUUUUCAUAAACUUAGAAAGCAUAUGUACCCUUUUUUCCUUUUGAAAGAAAGAAAGCAUAUUACUCUUGCAUAGUGUACACUAGUACUCCUAAGAUAGAAGGUUGCUAUGCCCUAAAAAAAAGAUAGAAGGUUGCUAGAAGUAACUAACAGCCCAUCAAGCAGGGUACCCUGGGCCAAAUCGUUAAUUUCUUUGUUAGGUACUGAUGCUGCGGCCCAAUUCCAGCGCGUGCGCUACAAAUUUACUUUCUUAACCUCAACAGGCCCGCCUCAGCCAACAUCAUUGCGGCCCAAUAAGAAAAAUGCGGCCCAUCGUUUCCUGAAGGCCUUGAGGCCUAGCCUAACUACUGCACCGUCUGCUGGCCCACUUGCAUUGAACGGACAAGUAAUCAAAAGUUAAUAGGAACCAUUCAUUGCGUAGGAAAACUUCUAAAUAAAUCACGGAACAAUACGAGUACUAAUAUACUCGACCCAGGCCCAUCAGGCUGAAUAUGAAGAUCAGGGACGGCGGCCCAUCAUCGCGCAGGAUCACGAUCCAGAACGCGGCGUCGACGUGCAGCCACAUGCCAUGGCGGCGCGUCACCUCCCCGAGCUCGCGCACGGGGUCGGCCGCGCCGAGCCCCGUCGUCCCGAUCGUGGCGCAGACGUACAGCGGCACCGGGUCGCGGGCGACGUCGGGAUGAGUAGAUGACGCGGAAGUUGGAGGGCGGGACGCCGACGACCCGCGCGCCCUUCUGGUGGAACGUGGCGUGCGCCAGGUCGGAGGCGUAGACCACCAGCCUCGCGAUGGCAUCGUUUCCCAGCGCGGCCAGCGCGCGGUCCCGCGCGGCGGCGAGCGUGCACACCACGGCCUCGCACCUGCUCCCCUGCAGGACGCCCCCGCCACGGCCGGAGGAGAGGAACCGCUGCGGUAUGCCGAGCAGCGCGGCCGUCCAGUCCACGACGACGCCCUCGAAGCUCGGCGGCGUCCGGCGACGCCGCCCACGUGAAGGGCACGAAGACGUUGAGGCCGGCCGAGAGCAUCUCCCCCGCGAAGCCCGCGGCGCUGGCGUUGGCCGGGAAGUAGGCGAAGAAGCUGGGGGCUCUGCCAGUGCGUGAGGCCCGGGAGGAUGUCCCGGCGCACGUCGUCCAGGACGCUCUCCAUGGACUCGCCGCACUCCGGUGCCGCAUUGGGGAGCAGCGCCCGGAGCCUGCCCAGCUCGAGGCCGGCGGCCCGGACUAGGUACUGGUCGAUGUCGCGGUAGUACGCGGCGAGGAAGUCCAGCACGGCACGCGAAUCGCGAGUCGCCCGGGAAGGUCUCGGAGUCCAGUGGCUGGAAUGGCGCGUCGAGCGGCAAGCUGCCCAUCUUCCGACACUGGCAGAGACCGAGCAUACGUACUUGGAAGUUGUUGUGGCUCAUGGUUGCCGCUGUUCUAUCCAAGUCAGCACCGCUGCACCAACUGCAAAAUAAUCUCCAAAUAAUUUUCCCAAACAUGAACAUAUAUCUUGGGCAAAAUAAUUUUAUUUUUGUGCUUGACACACUUUCCAUGAGCAAAUGUUCACCAAAUGAUCUUGUGUGUUUGACACUUUCCAUGAGCAUACUACCGUGGCCCAUAAUCACAUUCCAACGAGGUUGCUUCAUCUCACCGUGGUGUGGGUGGUAAUCUUGAUGUUGUCUACAGCAUGCUUGUGGCCUCCAGCACCGCCGGCCAGACCGUCAGCUCAUCGGACUCAUUGGACCGCCGUGUGUGUGUCUCAACGCAACGGCCACGGAGACGUCACAGAUCGAUCAGGAUGGAAUUAUGGAAAGCUCCUCCGCCUUCUCGAGUAGCUUGGUGCCCCACGUUCUUGUCGACGACGAUCGGUCAACUCAUCCUGACCAUCCAAAAAUGCAUCACGACCUUGUGACUAUGCCAAUGACCAACAUCGCAUCUGCCUCCAAUAGAGCCCCCACGUACACACCAUCUUCUAAUUUCCACCCAAGAACGUAACAUCCUCUAAUACAAUUCACUUGGUCCUACGAACUCAAACAACUUUGGACUAGUCAUAAAUGCUAACACUUUAACUUGCAUGCUGCACACGCACAAUUCUUUCCAUCUGCAUCAUGUCAAAAUACAUUUACACAUUACCGCCCUACAGUAAAGCACCAAAAUUUUCUACGCGCACGCACACAACUAGCUAGUAAGUGUAUUGAAUAUAGGAUUUUUAGUGCGGCAACAUUUCGAAUACUCAUAUGUGAAAAGAGAACACCUUAAAUCCUUAAUCUAAUGUAGAGAAGAAUGUAUAAAGCAUUACUUUCAUAAAAUUAAUUGAUCAAUCAUAGAAUACAUAGAACCCUGUUCUAAGGACUCUACACGAUUGAUAACAAAACUCCACACGACUCUAAAAAGCAAAUGGCGAACAAAAGACACAACUAUACUAGCCCACUGAAUUUCGAUACCACUUCUCUCUCAGUGUAUUCGAUACCGCUUCAUCUCUCUACUUAACUCCACUCCCCUCACACGCAACUCCCUCUCUUCUUCUUGCCGCCACACGCACCGCUGUUGUAGUCCGUAACACCAGUGACUCCUGUAGCUUCCGCCACAUCCUCGCCGGUGAGGACCAUCCACCCUACUCUUCCUCUUCCACUCCCUCUCCCAUUCGUCUCCACUCCAAACUUUUUGGCCAAAACUCUAACCCUAGCUUGUGUUGUUGAUUUUUGACGGAUGCCCAGCUUUUGGCAAGCUCUGCGAGAGGGGCCGGGGGAGAGGAAGAUUUGCAUCAAUCAAGAGGGGGAGGAGGAUCUGUAAGGUGCGUCUGUGUUCGUUCUUUCACUUGAAGCCUUUUCAUGUUUUCAAUGUAAUGUGUCCCAAAAUUUGGUAAGUUGAGUAUGGAUGUGUCCCAAAAGGUUACUAAUUUGAGUAUGUUGCGUGCCUUGAUUUGAUCCGUGCCGAUGUUGAUUGGGUCUACUAGAUUAAUAAAUUUAUUUUCACGAUGGUUUAUUCCUUGGUGGUUCUAGUUGAGUGGCAAGAUUACGAGUCCCUUCACUUUUUUAAAUGUUUGUUGCUGCCCUAUGAAAUGUAUGGUACAACUUAUGAAUUUCUUCAUCCAGUAAACUGCCAAAUCAUAUAAAGAUGAUCGACCAUAGACCCAUUUGAAUGUGAGGAACCGGCAACUGAGGCAUCAUUUGAAGUUAUGCAAGGAGAACAUUCUUGCGGGUAACUAAAGUUUAUAGUUUCCCCAUUUUGUAGCACUUGCAUUAUAAAAAAAGAAUUUUAAUUUGCACGGCAUGUAUAAAUGCAAUGAGAGUAAUAAUUCACAAAAUAAUGCUGACUUGCCAGUUCUAACAGCUAUGCACUGUCAUGUUUACCUUCCUCCGAUCAAUUGCACAAGCAAAUCCUGCUUGCACUCAUGUUUGUAUUUUCUUUUCUCUUCUUUAGGUGAGGCUCAAAGGAAGAACUGAGGAAUAGUCCAGAAGCCAGUGCACCACUCUGCAGAUUAAUCUUGUCCUAGAUUGUUCAUAUGAACUUCUGAAUUUACCAACCAUUUGAAACUCUAAGACUUGUUGUUAUUAUGUUAUUGCUAUGAUGUGUUCUAUCAUUUUCAAGCUCUAAGGCAUUCAAUACCGAACUUAUCAUAACUUGGUUUUAUUUGAUUUUGCCAUGGAACUUCAGAUGCAGAAUAUUGGUUUUCAAUUUAUGAUCGCCCAUGGAUGUUUUAUUGUCAUGUAUGUCAUAUCAUUUGCUCCUAUUAAUGUAGGAUGCAACUUAUAUAUAGCAAAUAUUGUUCAUUCUGCAGCUUUUUAAUCUUUAGAAGUGAGAUAGUACCAACCUAUCGAGGAAGAAAGUUUGCACUUCCAUGGGAGUUUCUAGAGGAUAAAGGCUAGGGGCUUGAAGUAAAGGAAUGUGAGGAAGGGGCCAGAAAAGAUAAGGUGCCUCCAUAAUUUUAUUGUUAUUUACUUUUCAAUUUUCAAUCAUUAACAGGUUCUCAUAUUGUACUGGUACUCAUAUGUGAAAAGAGAACACCUUCAAUCCUCAAUCUACUGUAGAGAAGAAUGUAUAAAGCAUUACUUUCAUAAAAUUAAUUGAUCAAACAUAAAAUACACAGAGCCCUGUUCUAAGGACUCUACAUGAUUGAUAACAAAACUCCACAUGACUCUGCAAGAAAAUGAAUAAAAGACACAACUUAGAAGUCUUAUUUCUGGCUGGCUGAGAUAGAAGUCUUAUUUGUGGCUGCAGGCUAAGAUAGGAGCCCUUUACACAAGGGCUUUGAAGCUGUAAGCUUAUUGAACAUAAGAUUUUUAGUGUGCCAAUAUUUCAAAAAUAAAGCAUAUACUGCUCAUCAUGUGUACUCAAUGUGAAAAGAUAACACCUUACAUCCUCAAUCUACUGUAGAGAAGAAUGUAUAAAACAUUACUUUCAUAAAAUUAAUUGAUCAAAUGACAUAGAAUACAUAGAGCCCUGUUCUAAGGACUCGACAUGAUUAAUAACAAAACUCCAUAUGACUCUAAAAGCAAAUGAACAAAAGGCACAACUUAGAAGCCUUAUUUCUUGUUGGCUGAAAUAGAAGCCUUAUUUGUGGUUGCAGGCUAAGAUAGGAGCCCUUUAUACGAGGGCUUUGAAGCUGUAAGUGUAUUAAACAUAAGAUUUUUAGUGUGCCAAAAAGCAUAUACAUCUUGUGUACUCAUAUCUUGUGUACUCAUAUGUGAAAAGAGAACACCUUAAAUCCUCAAUCUACUAUAGAGAAGAAUGUAUAAAGCAUUACUUUUAUAAAAUUAAUUGAUCAACAUAGUGCCCUGUUUUAAAGGACUCGACACGAUUGAUAACAAAACUCCACAUGACUCUAAAAGCAAAUGAACAAAACACACGACUUAGAAGUCUUAUUUUUAGCUAGAUGAGAUAGAAGCUUUAUUUGUGGCUGCAGGCUAAGAUAGAAGCCCUUUAUACCGGGCGUGGCACAAUGAUUUACAAAUUCAAACUAGCCGAAGAGUCCCCACCUGGGUGUUUUACCAUUUAUGCCGGGCGUGGCCGGGGGGAAUAAUGGAGGGUGCAUGGCACCAGGGUUACAUUGGAGACCACCGGGUGGUCGGUUGGGACUUGGCCGGGAGAGCCAGCUAGCGGCAGGGGAGCGGUUUACAUAGCGAACAUAGCACACCAAUCAUCUACUACGUGACGCUGGAGAACUGGGAGGCGGCAGCGCCACAGCCGAUCGAGCUUCAUCACUGCCAGUGAUCAGCAGGCGGGGAAGGCUAGCUUGUCUCGCGCCCAUGGAACACGACUUCGUGCCGGUGCUUCCAGAGGUGCCAGCAGCAGAGCAAGACGAGCGUGGGCAGAGCAGUGACGGGGUAGCAGUGGUCUCCUGGAGCGCGAGUGUACCGGGGGGAGAGCGGCAUGGUCCCAUCCAAUGUGUCGCCAGAAACGGCACGCAAACGGGCAGUUGCGGAUGAGGUGCCGAGGUGGCGUCGUCGAGGACGUUCUUGCUCGACAGAUUGCACUUGCACUGGAUUCGCCCUUGGACGAGAAGCCAAAGCGAAGAAUCUUACGCGCGGCGGGGCGUGAUUGCGCCAGACGAAGGCGUAGUAGGGGCAGGCGGCAACGUCGGCGCGGUAGACAGCUGCGGCACUAAGGGCGCGGCCGGGCUUCUCGAAACGACUCCGGCGAUCGUCCGCCGCCGGGGUGAGAGCCUGGGGACGAGAAACGUGCCGAUGCCGGUGUUCAUCACGUCGUGCACCGUGGCGCCCUGCUGGCGCGCCACAUGGUUGUACAGGGCAGGGAGGGACGUGGCCAGCGGCGCCUAACCGAGCCAGGCAUGACCGAGACGCAGGUGAUUGGGCCUUGGGCGCUGGGCGGAGCGCCGGCAGGAGAGCACGCGACACGUCCCAGUGCGCGCCCUGAUCGAACGUCCCCAGACAAGGUGGCGAGGUACGGUCGACGCGCUCGCGUGUCCAGAGCGCCCAAGAUGACUCGCCAGGAUGAUGUAGGCGGCGCAGCAGCUUAAGAAGUAGGGCGGCAUUCUGGACCGCGAGUUGCCGAAUCCCCAGGCCACCGUCUUCCUUGGCUUGGCAGGCGCGCGCCUACGCAAUGAGGCAUUGUGCCCGCCGGACACCGUCUCGUUGCCGCUCAAGAGGAACGCAUGGCAACGACAACGGUCCAGGGCGUCGAGCACCUCCGGGGAGCAGUAGCGCCGCCAUGAGGUAGGUGGGGAGCUCGUCUAUGACGGAGUUGAUCCAGACCACCUGGACAGCCGAGCUGAGCACAGCAGGAGGGCUUGCCCUGCCGGACAGGUACGUACCUGUCCACCUUGGCGAUGAGUGGGGCGAACGCGGCAAGGUUGAGUUUCACAUAGUUUUGAUUUUUUUUCAUACCUAUUGACAAAGGAUUUAUGCACUAUAAGUGUAUUUUAUUGUCUAUGAAAUAUGUGACAAAAUUAGUCUACAUCUCCUUUACUUUAUUUAAGAAUAUGUAUUUUGUAUUUUAUGUUCUUUAUCAAGAAUUUUCUAGUCAAACUACGAUCAUACACAAUACAAAUCAAGUGGCAAUUAGCUGAACUAGAAAAUAUUUUAAAGCUGCAUUACAUAUAUGUGCUUCUGAAAAACUUGAUGAAAUAGCACAGUAUCAUAUGAGAAACUAUAAAAUUGCAUUUAGAAUCAGAUGUUAUGCGUGUACCAAGCUGAUACUGAGCAUGCACUCCCGUCGGCCGAUUGCAGGAAAACCCUGGGCAAAUGUUGCAAAUCGUGAUAGGGUGAUAUCUGAAGCCCUGAACUAUCAAGCUAGCCUUCUUGAUUUUUUUGCAUCGAAAAUCCUCAAAGGUUAUUGUGUGAAUAGUAUAUAUAAAGUGCAGCGAAGGAGCCAAAAGCACUGGCACAGACCAAGCACGACUAUGCAUGGAGGUGUAAUGAGGUGACACUGUAGUGGUGUCACAAUGGGUCAGUACUUGAGGCAACAUUUUCUUUUAUCAAUAGCAUUUGCACUCUACCGGUAAUACUAAUACCCAUAAAGAGUAGUAUUAUUUGAGUUGAUUAACUUAUUCUCAUAUAAUAUUUUUUAUUAGUAUGCUAAGAGAUAAUAAAUUCCUAUAACUUGUAAUAAAUAAAUUGAAGUCCUUUUUUGUCAUUGUCUCUAUAAUAGCAAAGGAUUCCGGUUUGGAAGAACAUUGUGUAAAAUCCCCAAAAUAGUAGCUGCUCCUCAAUAAACAGAGAAAAAUAUUGAUCAAAACAGUUGAUGAGCUUAUCAGCACGGUUGAUGGAUGCUGGGAAAUAUCAUUAUUGGUUGACCAUAUUUUCUCACAAGAGCAUGAACGAAGAAGUUCGCCAAAUAGAAGGCGGUAUAACAGAUACAUUUGAUGAAAUGGUAUCAUAACGUUCAGGGGCUCUUUUUCUGUCAAAAUUAUGAUAAAACUUAGGUGUGUGUGGCAAUAUAUGAUGAUCCGGAAUGAACAGGAUCCAUCAGGUUCAACAGGAAAUGCAAUCAUUUUCAAUUGCAAAUAAAUUGAAAAUCAUCCUAUGGAGUCUUGCACAUAAAUAACGUUCCUCUAUACAGAAGUAACUCCAUGCCCAGUUUAUUGCGGGAUUAGAUGAAGAAUGAUGGUCGUUCAUUUGCAAUAUGAAUAUGCACUAGAAAUCUAGACAGGAGCAGGUUUGGACGAUGUACGCGGUCCAUUGGUAGAACAGAUGUGAUUGGCUCCGUUUCUGCAGAAAAUUGUAUUCUAAAAAAAAUGGCAGGGAGAAAAAUUAAUAGAUAGAGUUACUGUUAACGAGGGGAGGAGAACAGAGGGAACUGUCUUUGACCGGGAGUCUCUAAUCAGCGCGCGCCAGGGCCGCCAGCGCUCGAUCUCCCGACAGCCCGUCCUUCCGACAGCCCGCGACUUUCCUUUUUGGAAAAGUUUAAAAUCUCGUAACUUUCCAUUUUCAGAAUAUCAUAACUUAUAUACAUAACUUUGAUGCAUAACUCCACGAUAUAACUUUUAUGAGAUAAUUUUUUAGCACAACUUCAAUAGCGUGCAGAACUUAUGUGUAUAACUUCUAGGUACAAUUUGCAAGAAUAACUUCGAAUUUUGUUUUUUUAAAGCUGUAACCUAUACGAAUAAUUUGUACGCAUAACUUUUUUCCUAACAAGAUGAUAAAUUUCGUAAUACAAUUUUCAUAACAUACAUAACUUAUACACGUAACAUUUGUCGUAACUUUUAAAAGAAUGUAUGCACAUAACUUAUACAUAUAUACAAAUAUUUACCUAGUAUAUAAAAAAAUUGAAAAAGAAAAAACGCGCGGGGCCACGUGGGACCCACCGGGCGUUUGCGUUGCGCGCCCCGAAGCGCUGCAGCGCGUGUCUAAAUAACAUUGCGUCUUUAACCUCACCUGACAGAGAACUUACUCUUUUUUUUCUCAGUUGGUUAGGUAUCCUGUGGUUGAACCUGUCCACCCAGGUACAAAUUAAAUCCUUGACUCGGCGUGAGAAAACCUAAUGACAGAGUUGUUUGUUGUUCCUAAUCCUGAAUUCCUGAUUCUGACGUUUGUCUGCAAUGAACAGCAUCUCGACCCAUCUGACCAUCUCUGUGUGAGGGAUCUUAAGGGCUAAUCUCUGACUGCUUGUUUAUAUCAACGCAUAUACCCUGUAAAUAAACUCAGAUCUGCUAGACCCUUUUCACUGAAACAACGGUUAUCACAACAGAGGAGUUAGUUCUGAAUAAAACAUAGAGCAGAAAAUUAAACAUGGAACACACUGUUGUAAAAUCCAAUCUGACAUAUAGCCUUAAGAGCUACUCGAUCUAACGACUCGAUGAUGACGACUCAAUACAUCAUAGAACCCUGCUCUAAGGACUCCAACUCGAUUGAAACGAACUCCACUACAUGACUCUGAAAGCAAACCGCCGCCACUUCAAAGACGGGGCUCACCGGCGUCACCGCCCAGGUCCUUGGGGGCAGGAGGUGCCCCAAGUGGCGGCGCGCCCUCCGCCAUCAGCGCCAGCACAAUUUCCGGCACCGCUGGUGGCUCCCGCGCCGCUUCCAUCUUGCUGAGCCUGUCGUUAACGAGCUUGAUGCGCUUGUCCACGAGCGCUUUGACGUCGACGAGGACGUCGAGGGGCAGAUCCUCGACGCGGCGGCGGUCCUCGAUGAGGUCGUGGAGGAUGAUGCUCAUGUCCAUCUCGCGGUUGGCGACCCUAAGACUCUCUACGCGAUGGCGCAUCAAGGCCUCGUACCUCUGCAGGUUGCUCGUGGCCCACCGCACGUUGUUGUCAGCGACCCCUUGGAUCAUGACGUUGCGGCGAGCCAUGUCACAACACAACAGGUAAAACCCUAGAGGCGCAGGAGAUGAAAGUGGCUACUGGCUGUUUGCUCUUGGUUGGUGUGAGGAAGACGAGGGAGAGGGGCUCCUUUGGUAGCCCGUCGGGCUGACGAAAAUGGAAUGGAGCUUGGCUGAAAAAUUGGAAAGGAGUGAUGCCUGGGAUAUCAGAUGACAGCAGGAAGGUGACUGUGCAAAUCAAAAUAGAUUUCUUCUCCCGGCCGGAAUAAAACAGCUGGCUACGCGCCUAUCCUCAUUUUACCUGGACACGUGGUUGUACAUAAAAAAUGUUCCUGCUACAUUGACGUGUCAAGAAAAUACAAUGAAAUAAAGUUGCUCUGAAUCUCUGACUGCAAAGAGGGAAAUGUCCAUUGCAGAGGCAUGGAUAUCGAGACCAUGCAUGCGUUGUUGGUGCGUGUAAGAUCACAACGCAAAGGCAAGCUAGCACACACCGAUCUACAACAUGACAAUGUCCCAUUUCCAUCCAUAAGAAAUUGGACAUCCUGUAGUAAUAUUCCUAUUUGUAAAAACAUUUGGCUUAGUAAUAUUCCUAUUUGUAAAAACAUUUGGCUUGGCGAGUUAAAGUAAAGCUUUACUGAUUUAUAAUUGUUUCUAGAAGUAGAUGCAGUCUCUAUGGAGUAGCAUAUAUCUCCAUUGCAGCCGAGUACCAUUUUACAAAUCCAUAGUAGAAUACAAUGAGCGAGGACCCAUAACUGAAGAACAAUGACCCAUUAACAAAGGACUCGAUCGUGCACUAUAAGUGUAUUUUAUUGGCUAUGAAAUAUGUGACAAAAUUAGUCUACAUCUCCUUUACUUCAUUUAUGAAUAUGUAUUUUGUAUUCUAUGUUCAGUAAGAAUUUCUAGCUAGUCAAACUACAGUCAUAUACACAAUACAAACUAAAUGAGCAGAUAAAUGAGCAGAGAGAUACGUUGAGAUGGGCUCCGGAGGAAAAAGGCACAUAUACAACCAGAUCAAUAUAAUGUGUAUAUAGGUUUAUAACUUUCAGAGGGGUGGUAGACAGGAGGGCGUGCAAACAGUGGAAAAGUAAGUUACCCAUGAAAAUAAGAGUUUUCCUAUGGUCAGCAUUCCACAACAAGCUUCCUACUGGGGUAGUGUUAAAAAAGAAAAACUGGAAAGGAGAUGUCCUCUGUGCGGGGUACCAGAGACAGUAGAUCACAUCUUCUUUCAAUGUGUUUUAGAUGGGUUUGUUUGGGCUUGCUUCAAAGAAGCCCUGAGCUGGGAUAAAGUCCCAAGCAAUUUGGGGGAGGUGCUGGGAGGCUGGUUACAACUGGGGCGGUGUGUGACUAUGAUCUAAAGCUUUUUUCUUUUGCAACUAUAUGGUGGGUGCUUUGGAAUCAGCGAAACAAGAUGAGAAUUGAAAGCAAAUUUCCAAAAUCACCAUCUGAUGUUAUGUUUACAAUAUCCUCUAACUUGCAGAGGUGGGAGAUAUUGCUGCAAUGUUCUGACAGAGGUCGCCUGGCCAUAGUACGUGAACAGAUGGAGAAAUGGCUUGGAGAAUAUCUGAAGAAGGAGAGGAUGCAGGAGACGGAUGAAGACUUACUCUAAUUCCCUACGCUGUGUCUUGGGUCCUUGUUUAGAUGCUCUCUGGUUGAGUGUCUCCUUUCUUAUUUCAACUUUCAAGUUGAACCAAUAUCUGUAGCUGGUAACCCCGGCAGAGUCUGUAACUAAACGUUAUUUGCUUUCUAUAAAAAAAGGAUGGAUUCUUGAUAAAAAAAAAAUGCAAAUUAAAUCAUGUCAGAGUUAGCUGAACUAAAAGAAUACUUUAAAGCUCUAUUGUAUGUGCUUCUGAAAAACUCAAUGAAAUAGCACAAUAUCCUAUGAAAAAUUAUAAACUUGGAUAAAGAAUUAUCAUACUGUCUUGAGAGUGAGAGUCUAAGAUACUUGGAUUGCUGUUGAUUAAAUUAGAGCUGCUUUACAAUUGUUAUAUCCAUGUACCGGGAUUCGAGGCCCUAAAAAGGUUUUAUUUGAAGGGAACUAUCAAAACAUUAUGCCUGCAGUUCAGAGGCUUUGGCCAAGCUUUACAUCUGAUAUUAGUUAGUUCUGGGAGCGUCAUGCAACUUUUCUUAAGGGCAAACGAAACUAAAGCUGGAUAAAAAUGACUGUUAGUGCACUACAAUUGUUCACUGAAACUACUACUAGAAAUUUUCCUACAUAUUGUUUAUUUAUGAAACUGCAUUAUAGAAGUCUAUAGCUCGAAUGUGCUAGUCAAACUAUAACUGUGUUAGAUGUGUGCACCUUGGUUGUCACAAUAGAUUGUCUUGGUUAGAUUUUGCAAUACCUUAUAACCAAACUAUAACCUUGCUCUAAUAAAGUACUGAAGCAGAGUUGAUUAUUAGUUGUAAAAACUUUAAAGUUUUGCUAUAUGAGUUAUGCAUCAGAAGCCCGCAGAGUUGAUUAUUAGUUGUAAAAACUUUAAAGUUUUGCUAUAUGAGUUAUGCAUCAGAAGCCCUACAACGUUACCUAAAGUUCAUGCUUUUCAAUUAGUAGGCAUGAAGCACUGUUCGCUUUCCGAUAAUACUAUUUUCCUCAAGUCCUCUCUCAGAUAUGUUUGUGAGCAUUAAUCAAAAGCAUAUAUAAGCAAGGUUGACCAUGUACUAACAAUAUUUCAGCAACUAAGAGGUUUCUUAACAAAAUAUCUCUUCUAAAUAAUCGAUACACAUUCAUACCUAAACAAACUUUUUAACUAUUUUUUGAGCCACUGGUUCCAAUCAAACAACUGCAAAAAUGCAUGCAUUUACUUCAUUUUAGAUGUUACUUAGUUCUAUCGAGAUGUACUUACAAAGAUCUUGGCUCCACCACUGCGUACAUGUCCUGUCAAAUAUGCAGGCAAGGGCGGAUCUAGCGGUGGGGCGGACAGGUCAGGCUGAAGCCCCCCUACCGCUGCUCAGACAAUGGAGUCCCCCCGGAAGCCCCUCUAUGAUUUUUUAGGAAGAAGGGAGAUAAGAAAGGGGAAGAAGAGGGAGCCCCUCCUAAACUCAUGGGCUACAUCCGUCACUGUAUGCAAGUACAUCACUACAUCGAUAGCUAAGUCCCACAUUUGAUUCUUCGGUUCCUUUUCUUGCCAUCCUGAUUCCUAUUAAUUUUUCUUGAUAUUUUUAUUCAACAUUUCAAGGAAAUUAAACCUUUCAAGAACUUCUGUGAGCCUCUGAAAGUUGGUGGAGUCAUUUUUUAUUAUAUUAUGAGGAGUUGCUCAGUCAUAUAAGGUGGUUUAUGUUGCUGGAAUCUAAUAAUGAACUGCAAGGAUACAACUCACAAAUUCUACUUCCUCUGUUCCAAAUUAUAAGUCAUUCCAACUUUCUUGGAGAGUCAAAAUAUCUCAAGUGUAACCAAAUUCAUACAAUAAAGUACUAACAUUCAUGAUACCAAAUAAAGUAUCGUUAGUUUCUUCAUUAAAUAUAUUUUCAUAGUAUAUCUAUUUGGUGCCAUAAACCUAUAUGAUCCUCUCUAUAAUUUUGGUCAAACAUAAAAUGGUUUGACUCUCCAAGAAAGUUGGAAUGACUUAUAAUUUGGAGUGGAGGGAGUAUAGUGUAACAAACGAUGCAAUGUCAAAUUUGGCAAAAUUAUGGUUUAAGGAUCUAGUAGUCGAGAUAUAGUACAAGGAAUGUGUAGGCUUUGUUCAAAUAAUUACUUCAAAUGUUAUUUAAGAAAAUUCCCUACUUCACACUGGUAUAAUGAAUGCUUCUUUAUAUGGCCCUCAAAAUUUAACAUGGGUCUAACUUCCAUUCGUGGUAUAGCGCUACCAUCCAUUUUGAUUAUUGCUAAUGGUGUUAAGCGGCACUUGAAAUGAUAAUUUUGCCCCUCAGUGUAUGUAAAUAUUAUUUCUGGUGCAUAUUGUAUUAUUAUUUAGUGUAUGCUAAAAUUCAUGAAUUCAAUACAAGCCUCCAGUUAAUUCAACAUAAACUAUAAAACAACAUGAGAUUAGCCAAAGCAAUCAAUUUUUCCUAGGACAAAUAGUCCACAGCCAAGCUCUCCAUGUCCUAGUCAUCCAUGGCUAGCUGUAGCCAGCAUGUCCAUGGCAGCAGCCACAUCGUCUAACACUGUAGCCAUACCUUAAAAUAAUUGCUCAGCCCGUACCGCCAGCGACGGCUGACCUAGGGCACCCACCACGUGCCUAGACCUAGGAUUAUGAUUGGGAGGAUGAGACGAACAUAGAAGUGGACGGUGACGCCGAGCCCCCACGCGAAUUUUGCUGCUGGAGCCAGCGUCCUUAGCCAAGGGCAUUUUGGCCCACACAUGGAAAAACUGACAUGAGACAAACCCAAGAUUGAUGUGAAUCCCUAAUAGAAUAGAAUAGACAUAAGUGUCACAUUAGGAAUGAGGCUUAAAUCUAGUGUCAAAUAGCAGGGAAUUUUCUCUUUGGUCCUGGGCAUAUAAUUCAUGUGCAGUCCAAAAUAUAAUCCACGUUCUAACAUCAUUGACAAUGAAAGAUAAUUUUAGCAUAUUUGCAUUUCCUCUAAUGUGAUAUGGAAAUAUUGAAAGUAGGGAUUGAUUUUUUUAUCGGAAGUCCAAGAAAUUACUUUUUUUCUAGCAAAAAAACUCGCAUACGGUUAUUUGAACCAAUUGCAGAAGCUUUUUUUCCCAUAUGAUUCCAAUUCUAUAAUCCUGUAAAUUCAAGCCUAGUGCUAUUUUUAUUAGUAUUCUCAUGAUGAAUUAUUGUUUCGGGGCCACUUUGCAUUCUUCAAAGAUGACAGUUGGAAAGGUUUUAUUAUCUAAUUUCAGUUCUAUAUAACUUUUUUUUUCAUGUGAUUAUUAAACCAUGUGUUGAAUAUAAUAUUUCUAUGAUAAUCUGAAGAUUUAUUGGGAGCAAAGUUUAAUAUAUAUUCCAUAAGAGAAAUUUUAGAAUGACUGGAAAAAAUAAGAGCUGUCCAUCCCGAGAAAUCUAAUGGUGGAAACAAAGGAAGUACCUUGAAGUAACUAAAGUACCACAGUUACACACCAUCCAGAGCUAUAAGUCGAUGCGUGAGACUGAUUUUGAUUUCCAUGGACAUAUACCCAAUGUUGUCCUGCUGCAAUAUUGGUUCAACUGGCCAUGCAUGUCAAAAUACUUAUGCAAAUUAGAUACAAAUUCUACAUUGUUUAAAUAUAUUACUUCUUACAACAUAAUCUAAAUGUUUCAUAAGUGCAUGCACAUGAGAUGAAAUGACAUGUAAUGUAGCCUAUCAACCAGUUCAAACCCUUGCUCAUUUAGUCGUGACAAUAUAUAAAUUAGCUUAAAGUCGAACUAGACCUGGCUUUGCUGAAAAGAAAACUUUGCAAAUUGAAGCGGUAUAUUAUGAUUUAUUUGAUAGAACUAGAUAAUUUUCCUAACAUAUGUAAUUAAUAUGCAGUAUGCCAGUAUAGGAUAUGGUUGCAAUAAAGCAGAAGUAUCAUUAUUCAAGGAAAAAUGAACGCUGGUGAAAUAUUAUUGCGAGUCCACUAAAAUAGUAUAUUAAAUCUAUGGCUUGGAUUAUGUACCACUAAUUCCAUUGUAUAUUCUUUGUUUAUGAAAUUUAAUUCUGUGGCCCCAGAAUGUGCUAAUAGAACUACAACAUUAUUACAUAUGUGUGUUCUGAAGAGCAUGAAGCUUUUGUCCUAAGUACAUCUUCUUGCUGAAUUGUUCUGAAUAGCUAAUAAUUAUUUCCAUCGUUUCAGGCAAAUUGUGGUGGGGAUCUGAAAAUGAAAAAUUGGAGUUUGAUUACUGAGUUGCAGGCACUUUAAAAGUGUGUUAUAUGUGAAUGUUAAGCAGAAGUUGAGUAGCUUUGUCUCUUCAUGCUUCCUUUAUGAAUUAAUAGCUAAGAAACAUGGUAGCCCACAAUCCAAAGGUAUUAUUUGCUUCACUACUACUAUUCUCUCCUCAGAAAAUGUUGAUAAUUUUAUUCCAAAGAAUCUAACGAUUAAGCAAGGUUAAAAUAUUUUUUUAAAGAAGUCCUAGUAACUAUUUUCAUCCACAACAAAACAAAACUGUUUUGUCCAUCAAUAUCUUCAUUGAGCCAUCGAUCAAAACAAGGACAGGGUACAUGCAUUCAUUUUGACUCUUUGAUUUUGUGGUUUUAUUCAACAUACAUAGUUCUAGCUACUUGCCAUUUGAAGUGCACUCUGCCAUGGUUCAUGGAAAUUAAUAAUAGCUAAUCUAAGUGGGUUCAAAAUUUUGGCCGAAAUUUUGCAAAUCUCGUGAAAUUUCGGUCUUUUUGAUGGUGACCGAAAUCACUGUUUGCCCGAAAUUUUGUUCUCUUCGUCGAAAGGUUCACUUUUUAGUCUAAAUUUCGGUCGAAAUUUUGCGAAAUUCAGUGUUUUCACCGGGGACAAAAAAAUCGAAAAACGAAAUCCUAAUCCCUUCUAACAUAUUUUUUACUUGUGUAUUUGUGCAUACAGCUUUUAGAGUAGUAGUGCUGUUGCAUCAGUAGAAUAUAGUACACCGCACUUCAGUUUCAGGCUUCUUCGGACCUCCAAAACUCCAGAGCCAGGGACCCAGCCAACUGCCUGUGAGGGCGUGAGGCCGAACUAGUCAACAACCAAGCCGAACGAUGCAUGCAGAUGCAGCGCCCCCUCGUAUGGACUGACUAAAUAAAUGUGUGCAAAGCGUAGUGCAGACUGCAGGCAACCGGGCAAUGCGCCGAGCGACGAAGGCGCUGGUGCACGGCUCUCACUCAACCCGGCCCUUGGCAGCGCAAGUAGGCACAUCGAAUCUCAUUCUCUAUUUGAUUUGUCUUCCUAAUGCAAGUAUUAAUUUUUUUAACACAUAAAUCUAAAAUAUAGUUUGCUAAUAUUUCAAGCAAAUUGUUGUUAAACCUGAAAGAAAAGCAUGACUCUUUCAACAAGAAGAAAUAGAUUGCAAUGCAGUUCGGUUCAUGAUGAAUACGACUAAAAAAUGAUUUGCAUGCUAUGAAGUCACGUAGUGUGCCUAAAAUUUUGGAUCAACUAACAUUUUUUUGGUUUUUUUCCGGACAAACUGUGAGUCUCAAAACUAUGUUUAAUGUAAUGAAAAUUUAAUGCAAAUGAUAAACGGUAGAACUUUUGGGAACGUAUACAUUUUUCAUUGCAAACGAUCUUGUUCGGCCCCCUAUUCAUAAUUCAUGGUUCUGCCACUGGAUGUGAUCACAUGGCCAUCUGUUUUUGCAAGUUGAUAGACAAGAGAAAAAGUGCUAGACAUAGCUUUUUUUCAUUGUAAAGACAUUUUGACCCUGUUGAGUCAAGUUCCUUCAAGUUCAAUACAAAUUCCAAUCUCUUAGAUAUAUAAUCCCUGAUGCUUCCGUCUGUUUUAUUCAUGUUAAUUCAAAUUCAAUGUCUCCCUUCAAGUUCAAAGUGAACCCAAAUAUCUGUGAGGUCGGAAUUUGUUUAAGAUGAAGUUUUGCUUUAUUUGCACUCUUCUGUUUUUUUCUCUCUUCCUAGCUAUUACAAACUCCAAAUGCAUGCUCUUUUUUUUCCUCUCACCUGCUUGUUUCUAUCUUUUAUUCAGUACCUUUUAUUUUUUUGUGAAUCUGCAGCACUAUUCAUAUCAUGUGUUACAAACUUACCACUUUACAAAUUUAUUGUUAGCUAUCCCUUUGCUAACAGCCUGUGGAUUUUUUGUUAGCUAUUGACUGUGAUUCAAGAGAUAGCACAGUAUUUUUAUUUCCCAGUUUAUAGCAUAUGCAGCACUCUCUUUGCUCAGUUUAGUUGAAUGCGCAUAAUCACAUAAUCAGUGUAAUUUGAAGUUCUGAACUAUCUGCUAGCCUUCUCUUGAUCAGCCUUUUUUGUAUCGUAGAUCCUCAAAGGUUAUUGAAUGAAUUAAUAGUAUACUGCACAUACACAUAAAGAGUAGUAUUAUUGAGUUGGUUAAAUUAUUCACAGAUAAUCAAUUUGUAAUAAAUAAAUUAAAGACCUUUUUCUCAUAGUCUCUAGAGAAUAUGAUGAUCACUGGAGCAAACAUCAGGCUUCAGGUUCAGCAGGAAAUAAUGCAACCAUUUUCGAUUGGACCCGAUUAUGGAAGAUGGAAGUUCCAGGUAAUUAACUGAAAAUUAUCCUAUGGAAACUUGCACACAAUAUCUCCAGUUUGUUGCGAGAUUAUGAAGAUGGUGGCCGUUCACUUUCGCAAUACAAUAAUGUAAAUAUGCAGUAGUAGUCUAGACAGCAUGCAAUGUACGUUGAUCGGUAGAACAGAUGUGCAUGGCUACGUCUCUGCAGAACAUAUAUUGUGUUCUCAACGAAUUUGGCAGAACAAAUGUUCAUGGCUAACGAGUGGAGAAGCACGGAUGGAAUUGCCUUUAGUCUUACCUGACAGAAAAUAUCAACAGAAUGAAGUCUUUCCUUUUGGAUCAACGCAUGUAUAGCCUGUAGAUGAACUUAGAUCUGCUAGACUCUUUUCACUGAACGACUAUCAUUACAGAGGAGUACUAGUUCUGAAUAAAACAUAGAGCAGAAAACAUAUAUAGAACACACUUUUGUUCUAACGACUCGAUGACGACGACUCAACACACUGAGCUGGACUCGACCCUAACCUUAGCACUACGGAUACGAAAUCAAACGAAGCAAACACUACAAGAUAGAUUGUAAAUUUGUAAUGCAAGCGCCUGAACAGGUAGGCGUGCAUUUCUGCCCUCCCAUUACAUGGGCUUGAAGCUCUCGAGACCGUGCUCCCUGAGGAGACGGUCCACGUCCUCAGCUGUGGCUUGGCGACCGCUGCCGUCGUCCACGAUGGCGUCUGCCAUCUCAAGUAGGAAGCUUCCAUUCCGGGGCUCGGCGUCCAGGUUCAGGAGCUCGUCAGCGCCCAUACCAGCAGCGGUGGCCUGAGACUCCGGCUCCACCGCCGGCAGCAGAAGCGACGCGUCAGCUACCAUUGGUGGCUCCUGCGGCGGCGACGCCGGCACCACCACCAGCUCAGAUGCCGGCUCCGGCGCCGGCAGCAGAAGCGGCGCGUCAGCUACCGUUGGCGGCGCCUGAGGCGCCGGCGGCGGCGCCUCCACCAGCUCAGAUUGCAGCGGUGCAGGCUCUGGCUCCGGCGCCAGCGGCAGAAGCAGCGCAUCAGCUAUCAUUUGUGGAUCCUGUGGCUCCGGCGCCGGCGCCACCACCACCUCAGAUUGCAGCGGUGCUGGCUCUGGCUCCGGCGCCAGCAGAGGAAGCAGCGAUUCCUCAGCUACCAUUGGUGGCUCCUGAGGCGCCGGCGCCGGCGCCUCCACCAGCUCAGAUUGCGCUGGUGCCAGCUCGGGCUCCAGCUCCAGCUCCAGCUCCAGCAGAAGCAGCGCAUCAGCUAUCAUUUGUGGAUCCUCCAGCUCCGGCACCGGGGACACCACCAGCUCAGAUUGCAGCGGUGCUGGCUCCAGCUCCGGCGCCGGCAGCAGAAGAGGCGCGUCUGCUACAAAUGGUGCCAUCGCAAGAGGUGGCACCAUCGGUGGCUCCUCCUCCUCCUCCAGCGGCACCACCAGCGCAGAUUGCGGUGGUGUCGGCUGCAUGAACGGCGCGUUCGCCACCACUGGCGCCGCCAUAGCAACUGGCGGCACCAUUGGCGGCUCCCGCAACGCCAUCAACGCCGCAGCUUCCUCCAGCGGCGGCGAGAACGCCGCCUCUUGGGCAUCCGCCGACCUGAGGAAGUUGACGCGGUCGGCAGUGACGCUCCUGAACGCGUUCAGCACCGACACGACGGCGGCGGUGAGCUCGCGGGGCAGGUCGUCGAAGUCGCGGCGGCGGCCGAUGCUGACGUCGUUGAGGACCAGGUUGACCUCGAGCCUGCGGGCGGUGGCCUUGCAGCUGUCCACCUUCCUCCUCAUCUUCUUCGCGCGCUGGCGCGCGAAUAUUUCGUUGUCCAGCUUGUGCGCCUCCUUGAGGGACCCAGGGAGGUCUGGGUACCUUUGCAGGAUCUCCGUGACCUCCGGCACCCCCGGCCAGACCUUGGGCUCGGCCUCGCCGCGGCCGUACACCACCACGGCCGCUUGGACUUGGCAGAGGAUGGAGAGGUCGCGCGCCUUGUCGAACAGAGUGGUGUGGCGCUUGCGGAACGCCGCCUGCCGCACGGCCUUCUCCGCGAUCCAUUGGAUCUUGAUUUUCCCACCACGGCGAGGCAUAGCGCAAGAAACCCUAGGAAUCGCCCGGGGACGAUGCAAGAGGGGAAAUCUGUUCUGUGUUCUAGGUUGGUGUGAGAGCGACCGGGUGGGUGGGGGGUGGGGGCGCUAACCUGCUUGACGCUAUCGGAAAGGAGUGAUGUCACGAAUUGAUUAGCCGAAUCAAAAUGAUUUUGUUUUACUGGCUGGAUGCAACGAGAUCCCACUGUAUACAUCUUACACAUGGGGCACGCGGUAUAAACGACAGGAUGUCUAGGUUAAAAGAAUGUGCCUAGGAAUAUACUUUGAAAGAUGUAAUUAGGCUGUAAGCCUUUAAAAUUCUCUUCUUAGCUUGCAGGUACCACCAGGCAGCACAGACGAACUUAUUAUGACAUACUAUAUCAUUUUUUUUUCAAGUAGUUCAUAGAAAAAACCUACAAAAAAAUUAAACAUCCAUGGUAACGGACAACUAGCUGAAAUCGUGAGUUUAUAGUUUAGCGCAGUAUGAAUGAAUGAACUAUAUCUGACGGCUCCAAAAAAAGGUUUGAUUGAAUUAUAAAUACUUUAAAAUCCUUCUUAUAUGUACUAAUUUAUUUGAAACCAUCAAUUUAUAGUUUAGCAUACUAUGAACGAGCUAAUUUUUUUGUUAUAAACAUUAUACAUUUGAGAACGGCGAUGUAGUAUCUUUUUUUUCUACAUCUUUUAUGUAGAAAGUAUGUGCAUCCAAUUUGUAGAACAUAGAGUAGUACCAUUGGGUGUGGCUAAAUUGUGGUUCAUAAUCGUAAUGUCUAAACAAUUAUGCUUGGUUUUAAUAAGAAAAUAUUGCGGUGAAUUUUUCAAGCACCAUUGAUGAAUUUCUGAAAUUUGCAUGAGAUUAAAAAGAACUUUUCUACUCUCCAGAGGACCAACAACUUCUUAUUUAGAAGAUUUUUAUGCAACAACCCCGAGUUCUAGUUUUAUGAUAGCUUGAUAGGUUGUACACUUGUACUAGUGGGGCCAACUAGAAGGUGAUUAGACUGUAGUUGUGGUAAUAGACAUAUGAACAAUCACACUGUCAGCGCCUAACAAGGGAACGGGGUCCUCCGAGGAGGCACUUACAAGCAGGGCCUGCUUGUUUAAAAGGGCUCCCUCUUCGAGAAGUCCAAAAUAAGGAGAUGGGCUGGGGAAUCUGAGGUCCUCGGAAGACAAGGUAAAUAUCGCGCCUGCCAGGCGGGACCCACAGGGCCCCACGUGGCAGGAGCAGGUUGCGCUCGGGAGGGUUCGCUUCGAGGCGAACCAAGUGAAGGCGUACUCAAGAGCGAGAGGGCACGGCAGUCAAGGUAGGCUGUCAACCGCUCGCCCCGUCCCCGUAAAAACACCGUUAUUACGGUCAAUGGAACACGCCUAGACCUCCCGAGGACUGACGGCCUCACACAUCCCGUCCAACAGGCGGCGGGCGCCGCUCUCGUGUUGAGAGCGCUCGCCUGGCUCCCGGCUGCCCGCUGCUCAGAGGGGGAGGGCACCACGACCCCGAGAAACAGCAACGACCUCGCGGGAAGAGACUCGGGAGCUAGAUUCAACACCCCUCUCCCCGAGAAGGUGGACCUAGGUCAAAAAGCACAAAGGUUACCAUGAUAAGAUGGUAAAAAAACAAGAUUGACAUACGAAGGACUUGGACGGGGUUCUCCGGCGCCGUGUGUACCAAGGCAAGGAAGUGUCAGGGCACGUCAGAGGAGCUGUAGCAGGGAGGACGGCCAUUGGGCCGCCGUAUUCAUACAUACAAUGUAAAGGGAUGGAUUGGGGUGCAAGGAUCGCCCCAACCAGUCCCCACAUGGGCUUGGCCUAUAAAAGGCCGAUUCUUGUAUAGAUAAGACAGACAUCUCUAAGCAACACAACACACAGGGGGUAAGGUGUUACACUUCUGAGCGGCAUGAACCUGUCUAAAAACUCUCUUAGCAAAUCACACACUAACUCCCAUAGACGCUUCUUGAAUCUCUACGCACGAGCUAACCCCCAGGCCGGAUCUCUAAAAGAGGGUCUCGUCGGAAGGGUCUCGUCGGAUCCCCGCUCUCGGUGCUUGACCACCGUCGCACACAUAAGGACAACAAAAAAUAUUUUCUAUGAUUAUACUCCAUUAUCAAAAUGGACUGAAUAUAUACGUAAAUUUUUUAUGUUACUAGCAAGCCAUGACCCAUAGAAAUGUAGUGGUCCAUCAGCAUAUAGGCCAUGUAGUUUUUGGUGUAUCUUGUAUUCAGCCUACAGAUCAGACCGUGGUUUCACUAAGAUGAGGAAAAUAAACGGCCAUAUAGGCCCAGAGAAGGGGGUUGGAACUUGGAACCGUGGGCCUUGUAACACUGCCCCCCAGGCCUUUCCACUGGGCCUCGGGGAUUCGUAACGUGCGUCUCGCUGGCUGCCUGCGCCCUCUGCGGAUCUCUCUAUUACCGUCGCUCAAGCCCAGCAAGGCGGCCACCAUGUUCUCUCUCUGUCCAUCUUCUUAUCUUAUUCACCUACGACUGCAAAACUUACCAGCCCUGCUAAGUGCCGUCAGUAUUCAUUACCACCAAGUCAUCAGCAGAGCUAACACAGACCAAAAUGGUCAACAACAAAAAAAUCAAUAGAAGCUAGCAGCCCACGAGCCCUUGUCGAUGUGUGCAAGUAUGCAGCACAUGCUCUCUGUUGGGCGCCAGCGCCAUUGACCUAGCCCAAAUUCCAAGGAUACAACACUUGCUGUCACAUCAACAGAUCGAUCCUUAAAAAAAUUUUCUGCUCCAGCGCUUCUCAUGAUCGAAUAAUGUGGAUUGAUUAAGAUCAAGUCAACUGUGUGUAUUAUGGAGAUGAGCCACGCUUUGCCAGCGCCGCCGGUCGCCGUCGCCUCAAUCCGGCCGCCCCGCGCGGCCGGCUGGGGAUUCCUCCACGCACGUGCACGCCAUGUGUUCGCUCUCGACUAGAUCGUGCUAGCUAUCCUCUCUAUCUAUACAACUCGCUCGCUGCACUGAGGACACCACCAAUUGCCAACAAUGGCGCGCCUGUUCCUCCCUGCCAUCUUGCUGGCCGUCGUGCUGGUCGUCUCCAACGCCGGUGCCGCGGAGGCGGCGUGGUGGUCGGGGUGGAGGUGGGACUGCCUGUUCCCCAACAACGGCCGCGGCGGCUACGGCAACCACGGCCACGGCGGCUACGGCGACCACGGCCACGACGGCGACUUCCCGAGCCACAGCCACAGCCACGUGGCAUCGAUCGUGACGGAGGACCUGUACCGCUCCUUCUUCCCGCACAAGGACGACGCCGCCUGCCCCGCGCGCGGCUUCUACAACUACACCUCCUUCCUCCGCGCCGCCGACGCGUUCCCGGCGUUCGGCGGCGACGGCGGCAACGCCACCCGGAGGCGCGAGGUGGCGGCGUUCCUGGCGCAGAUCUCCCACGAGACGACCGGCGGGUGGGCGACGGCGCCCGACGGGCCCUUCGCGUGGGGCCUCUGCUUCAAGGAGGAGAUCAACCCGCAGAGCAACUACUGCGACGCCAACAACACCGACUGGCCGUGCGUCCUCGGCAAGUCCUACCAUGGCCGCGGACCCAUCCAGCUCUCAUGGUAAUAACUUGAUCCAGCUCCAUCUCCUCGUCCUCGUCCUCGUCCUCGUCCUCGUCCUCCUCCAUUUCUGCUGGCAAGGUCGCCUUAAUUACAUCACUUGGUGGCUGCUGUGAUGUCGAUCAGGAACUACAACUACGGGCCGGCGGGCAAGGCGGUGGGCUUCGACGGGCUGCGGGAGCCGGAGGUGGUGGCGGGCGACCCGGAGGUGGCGUUCAAGACGGCGCUGUGGUUCUGGAUGACGCCGCGGGCGCCCAAGCCGUCGUGCCACGACGUGAUGGUGGGGCGCUACCGGCCCAGCGGCGACGACCUGGCGAAGAACCGGACGGCGGGGUUCGGGCUGACGACCAACAUCAUCAACGGCGGGAUCGAGUGCGGACCGAGCGGGAAGCCCGCGCCGGUGGAGGACCGGAUCGGCUUCUUCAAGCGGUACUGCGGCAUGCUCGGCGUCGACGUCGGGCCCAACUUGGACUGCGCCAACCAGCAGCCCUAUUCCAGUCCUAGCUAGCCGCCUUUGAGGCUUUGACCCUUUGUUUUGUGCUCGCAUCGCAUGCAUGCCUCAUUCUGUGUUUGUACUGUACUCGCUGAGUUUCUCUUUGCCAACAAUAAAGUUGGGGUUUCUUACAAGUUACAAACAAGAUGGGCAACGUCGUUGAAUCCUUAACUUCUCUAGUUGCAAGAAUGUACUUACUACUAUGAGAACUAAUUAAGGAGGCACUUCUCUAGCUCGUUGAAUCAUCUGCUGCAAGUGUAUGGAAGCAGCUGGAACCGUCGUAGACACGUGAAACGUGAUGACGCACGAAUGAUUGGUUGGGUCGUCGUUGGGACCAUAGGCAAGGCAGCUGUGCGUCCAAACUCCAAACAGGCCCCACGUACUGGCGUGCUCUUGCAGGGGAAGAAGAGAGGUAGCCCCAGGUCAGGUGGGUGCAUCAUCUGCUGGACUGGACGGACAGGAGCUAGCGAUGAAUUGAUGCUUGCUUGGGGGGCACCGGAACCCCCGGUUGCUGAGUUCUUGGUUUAACUCUCUGAACGAAACAAGCAGAGCUUUGCACACACCGCGUUUCAGCAGGUCGCGUUUCGUCUGAACUGGAGAUGCAUCUCUUCCCUGAUGUCACACGCACGCACUACUCGCUAGCAGUGGGCCGGGAGUGCUCGUUUAGUUUGUCGCUGCUUCGCAACCUAGUAUGUAACAUGUGUCGUCUGAGGGGUGGUGAUCGAACGAAGCAUCCGUCAUCAGCAGAACCAACACCGAGAUACGCAUACAAAAUUAAAGGUCGCAGCAGAUGGCAACUUUGAUUCGCUGAGAAUUUGGCAAGCAGCGCAAUCAGCACACGAUUCUCAACAACUUUGAUUAAUUAAUUGCAACGACGAUCCAUCAGCCGGGAAGAAACUUAACAAGUCGAUCGAUCAACAAUCAACGUGAUGAGAUGAUGAACAGCGAAUAAUCAAGUACUGGAAUCAACGACGACGACGACGACCAAGAGCGGGGGAACGAAAUUAAACUAAACAAGAGUACUAGUAGCUAGCUAGACGGCAUGAACACACCGGCCAGGAGCUAGCUGGAGCGCUCAUCGACCAGAUCGAUCGAUAGCACUCCUCCCGGCCUCUCUACUACUUGGUGAUGGCGUAGAUGGCGUAGAUGAUGCCGGGGAGGUAGCCGAGGAAGGUGAGGAGGAGGCAGAUCCAGAACUCGUGCCCGCACCCGUGCUUGAGGAACACCCCCAGCGGCGGCAGGAUGAUGGCGAUCAGGAUGUCGACGCAGUUCGCCGUCCGCUCCGACAUCUUUGCUGCUGCUGCUGCUUCUCUUCCUUUCCUUGUUGCUGCUGCUGGAUCGGAGGACCUUCUCCCUCUCUCCUUUUUCCUGCUUGAUGCUGUUGGCUCUCAGCGCCGUGCUCUGGUAGUCUGUCUGUUUGCUGUGCUUGGAUUCCUCCUUUCCUUUGGUCCGGGUGAUUUUAUAGACC